GGGCGCUUCCUCCACUUCCUACCACAUUGCCAACAGGACUGCCCCCUCUGCCAAGCAUUCCCUCAGUCCCCACAAUCCCAACUGUAAUUCCCCAUAUUCCUUUCUCUUUUCCACCAUUGCCAUAUUUCCCUAAUCUCCCAAACCCUGGGGCGCUUCCUCCACUUCCUACCACAUUGCCAAGAGGACUGCCCCCUCUGCCAAGCAUUCCUUCAGUCCCCACAACCCCAACUACAGUUCCCUCUAUUCCUUUCUUUUCUCUACCACCUUCUCAUUCUACUUUUUGACGUACCCUAUUUUUUUAUCUGCUGCAUACUGGAUCUGGUUUAAUAAGGUUUUUAGUCAUCUUUGUGUCUUUAUUAUGAGUAUUGAUUUUGCCCACUUAUAUUUGUUUGUAUAAAUGGGACUUCUCCAAUUCUCAUUAUUUGAUGUACUUUGAUACGUUGUUGCUUAUUAUAUAUGGGGUAUUUAUAUAUUGAUAUUCUGUCAAUGAAGUAAUUAAUUAAUGUUAUGAGUUUGGCUAAUUAAGAAAAGAAUCAAACGAUAAAUGCAGUCAAGAUAAUGAGCAGCGUACAUCGAGAAGAUGUCACUGUUGAUAUAAUGAUUCCUGCUUCAUUAUCUCUUCCAAGUUAUCCAUUUACAUACGAUUACUUUCCUCUUUCAAUAUAUUUCCAAGAUAAUAUUUUAUAUGAAUGUCUUUAAAUUAGGGUAGUCAAUUUCAUACAGAUUUCGGUUAUACUAAUUUGUGUGCAUUGUUUCAAUUUUAUACCAAAAUAUUAAUGUUUUUGAAAUUAGAUCGAUAAUCAAAUCAAUCAAUUCAUUCAUUUUUGAUUCAAUAGAUUCAACCAUCAAUACAAUUAAUUUACUAUUCAACAAUAUAAAAUAAUAUUAAUUAUUAAAAACCCCAAACUCCUCUUUUUUUAAGGCUUUGAAUUUUAAAAUCCUCUCCCCAUCUUUCAUCUUUCCUAAUUUAUCUUCUUCUUUUUUCCCUUUGAUUGAAUGUUAUAUGUCCAUCUUAAUUUUUUACCAGCAAAAAAAACUUAUUUUAGUAGAAAAAGUAAGAAAAGAAAUGGUGGUUAUUUUUUUAUGUUAGUGUUUUAUUUCAUUGAGUGCAAAGAUGAAGUGUAACAAAAGGUCAAGGGAUUUGAAGUGAAAUUUUUAUUUUUCCAAUUUAGAAAAUGUGAAAAUACGGCUUAAUCGGCUGAUGAUUUGCAGUUUAACUGUAGUUUACUCUAGUUCUCGUGCUCAUUGGUUCUUAGUCUGUUUGGUUAGGUUCUAAUUAACAUUGCGAAACACCCAACCCCAUUUUUCUACACUAGUGAAAAUUUCGGUCUGUAACACCCUAAAACCGGCCUAGACGUCCAAACCAAGUUGGAGAGUGACAUCAACUGUUCUAAAAGCCAUACCACCAUAACGCAAUCAAAUUAAACAAGUCGUCACACAUUAUUCAUCACAAUAGUAAUUUAAAUACAUAAUCUUCAUAAAUCAAUAACAUCAUAAAACAAAUAUCCCUAAUAAUAAAGCUAGCAGAAUAUCAAUAAGUGUCUGACCAAGCUUCCGCGACACCGCUCCAAUCAAGACUGAUUACCACCUGAAACCCAAGCAAUAAUAGAGUGAGUUAUGAGCUCGGUGCGUAAAAAGGAAUGUAAUUCAACAACGGUGACUUAUGGAGAAUAUCCAGUUCAGAGAUUCAGUUCAUCCUAGAAGCAUGUUUGAUCUAGGCUCAGAGUAGAGGUAUUACAUAUGUAUACAUGUAUUAUUCUAGUUCAAAUAUAGUUCAGAUCAGAUUUGGAUGCAAUGUUUCUAUUUCCAUCCUUUACACACCAACUUUUACCAUCCCAACACACCACUAUGGACAUUUAUUUCCCAUCCAUCCCUACACACCUUUAAAGUGUUCAAUGACACUUUUACAGAAACAUAGCUUAGCUGUUAGUUCAAUGUGCGACAAGUGCUAGAAUCAAAGUGAUACUUAUUAUGGCAUAGCCAUGUUUUCAGUACAGAAUCACCUUCUUCCUCACAAUCUCCCACCACAUGUUAAUUCAUAAUACAAUAAUCCGUAACACAUGUUUAGCCAUUCUGAUAAAAUACAUAAUUAAUAAAACAGUUCAAUAACAAAGUGGUGUUACAGUGCAUAUUCAAGAAUGUGAUUCACAGAUAAGUCUCAUGUAAGCAAAUUCAGUCAUUCCUAAAUAAAGGAAACCAAUAUCAGAGUUUAGCACCCUUCUCAGCCUCAAAAAAAGUUUUUCGGAUCCAACAUCCUGCCACACGGCCUGGGCCUGGUUUUCACACUUGAAACAGUGAGUUACACGGUCUGGGCACACGCCCAUGUCCCUGGCCAUGUAGACCAUGCACUAAAAUGGUCACACACGGCCUAAAUACACAUCCAUGUGGUCUUAAUUCAAUAAACAGUAAGUUACACAACCGUUCACACGGCCUACCACAUGUUCGUAUGGCACACAAGGCCUAGUUACACGCCCGUGUGCCUACCGUGUGGCGUUGACAGCCACCAUUUUCAACGACAAAACUUGCAAAAACUAAGGUUUCUGAUAUGCACCUGAGAUGAUUUCAAAGUAGUGACAAUGAAGAGGAGUUUCGAAUCCUAAAAUGACCAUUCAAUAACUCAGUGAAUCAAGUUUAUCAACAACAAUGCACAAUUAUACUCAAAAUACCUAUGUCGAAAGUUUUGACACCAACUUUCAAUGAAAUCAAUACUUACAGAAAAUUAACGACGAUUACUCGAAUUGACUUGCUGAGGUUCGCUACUCUCAAUAUCCCCGCCUAACAGGGAAACCAAAUGAUUGACUAUCAGAGAUUCACGCAACACACUCAAACAACCAUCUCAAAGUAUACUAUGUAAAGCAAAAAGAGAAAACAUGAAAUUUAACGAUUCGACAUCAAAACUUACUCAAUAAACUCCCAACAGAGAAUGCUAACAACGUGACUUCAACUAGUCUGCAUUCCUUACAACAAUUAAAGAGGAAAAGGGAAAAUUGAAAAAGAUGAAAAAGUAGCGAAAAAAGAAAAAUAAAAAGGAAAAAAAAUAAUAGGAAAGAAGAACUAACGUUAAUUGAUUAUCAAUUAACUUCCAUUCAGUCUUCCAAUGUUUAGCAAAAAUAUUUUCCUUACGCAUACUACGAGAUUCGAACUCAGAACCAGAUAGAAUAUAGAUAGAUGUUUAACCAGUAAAACAACAGGCUCAUUCUUGCCACGCUUUUACAGAGAAUUGAACUUAAGAGAGUAGUGUGUGCCUAUAGGUUGAUUCUAAAACAAAAAAACUUUUAAUGAUGCGACUUGAACUUCAGACCUUAAACUUAAUCGCAGAACACAAAGCAAUAGAUACAAAAAUUAGGUACUGUAGAUUUUUACAGACAAGUUCAUAAAAUUUUAGGGCAUUACAACUUUUUCCCCUUAAAGGAAAUUUUGGCCUCGAAAUUUUUACCUAAGUCGAACAGAUAUGGAUACAGCCAUCGAAUAGAUUCCUCCAGCUCCCACAUGGCUUCCACAGUACCGAGAUUCUGCUAGAGAACCUUCACUAGAGGAAUAGUUUUUUUCCUUAGUUUCUUAACGUCAUAUUCCAAGAUUUGAAUAGGCUUUACCUCAAAUGUCAAGUCUGGUCGUAACUCGACCUCGUCAAUCGUAACAAUAUAUGAUGGAUUCAAUUGGUACCGUCUCAACAUCAAGACAUGAAACACAUCAUGAAUCUGGUCCAGUGUCGUCGGUAACUCUAAAUUGUAAGCAACAGGUCCAACUUACUUUAAAAUACGGUAAGGCCUUAUAAAUCUCGGGCUUAGCUGGUCUUUAUGUCUAAAUCAGAGGACCUUUUUCCAAGGUGAUACCUUUAGAAACACUUCAUCACCUACCGAAAGCUCAAUAUCCUUUCUUUUUAAACCUGCAUAAGACUUUUGUUGAUCAGACACAACUUUCAGUUCAUCCUGAAUUACUUUCACAAUGCUCUCAGUUUCAAAAACCAGCUCAGGACCCAAUAUACGGCAUUCACUCAACUCCGUCCAACAUAAUAGAGUACGGUACUUACGACCAUAUAAAGCUUCGGGAGGUGCCAUCUGAAUACUAGACUGAAAGUUAUUGUUGUAAGCAAACUCCGUUAAUGGUAGAUACUCUUCCCAACUACCUCUGAAAUCUAUCACACAACCUCGAAGCAUAUCUUUUAGGAUUUGAAUGACUCGUUCCGACUGUCCGUCGGUCUAAGGGUGAUAUGUAGUAUUGAAAUUAAUUAGAGUGCCUAAAGCCUCAUUAAGUUUCUUCCAAAAUCCAGACGUAAAUUGCAGAUCUCUAUUGGAAAUAAUCGAGACAGGAAUUUCGUGUAGCCUCACAAUCUCGGCGAUAUAUAGUUUAGCUAACUUCUACAAUGAAUAAUCCAUUCAGAUAGGAAUAAAAUGAGCCGAUUUGGUCAACCGAUCAAUUAUGACCCAAACUGAAUCCUUUUUAGUAAGAGUUAAGGGCAACCCUAUACCAAAAUCCAUUGCUACCUCAUAAGCCAUAAUUUAUACAUAGUUUUACCUCAUUCUUAGCAUAUUUUUGGAUGAAUUAUCCUUAGAUUUGGUGAAUCCGAUGCUCCUAAUCUUUUAAUUUCACGUUUUAUACUUAGGUGAGCAUAGGAGAGUAAAAAGAGUGACAAACGGGCCAAAAAUAGAGAAAAUGGACCAACAUGGGAAAUCAAUACGGCCUGGACUUCCUCAUACAGGUAAGCCAUACGGCCGUGUCCAUUUGGAAGAAUCAAAGCACAACUUAUACGGGUAGACCACAUGCCCGUGCCUAUGUAACAGCCUUGAACACGGAUUAAAAAAAUUGCACACGGGUGUGUCCCUAUCGAGCCCAAGUUUAGUUCUAUUAGGAAAAGGCCACUCUUGAGGGUGUUUAGGCAUUCUAAAGCCUAUUUAAACACCUGAUGAGGCACUUAGAAGAGACACACAGAGUAGGAGGCAAGGAAUUACUCAAGGAAAGCCGAUUGAUCCAUCUCAGAAGCUGGAUUCAUCGUCAAGACUGAAGAUCUCCCUUCAAUUUCCUUUAGGAGUUUUAGGUUUUCUUUAUGUUUUUUUAUCUUUAUUCUUUUGAGAUGUUUUUUUUUCCAUUAUUAUGAACUAAACCCCCUAAAUACCUAAGGGGAAUGAAACCUAAGACGGAUCUUGUUAUUAUUAUCUAAAUUGUAUGAUAAAUAUUUGACUUUUUCUUAAUUAUGUGUUCUUAAUUCUUAUGUUAAUAUUCCAGGAUAUUGAUUCAAGUUAAUGCGCUUAUUCAGAGGAGCAAAAGUCUCUGUCUAAGAGUAAAUUUGUCAUAAUUAAGUAGAGUUCAUUGCAUGCCUAGAGAUAGGGUGACAAGAUUUUGCCGGAUUAGGGUGAAACCUAAUAAGGGAGUCCAUAGAUCGAGUUAAUGCAACAUUAGGGUGUUAAUUAAAAAGAGAUUUCAAUUAACCAACCUAGGGUUAGACGUUAUUAGUCCCGAGAGAUAUAAUAAUAUAACUUAGGGAUUUCUACGGAUCAAGUCAAAUGAAUAAAUCAUCUGAUUUAGAGUCAAAUAACAAGUAAAGUCUAGGUGGAUUUUUCCUUGGGUAUUGUCUUAAUCAAUCGAGUUUUCCCAAAAGCUUUUCCCCAAUUUUCUCUCUGUGCACCCUUAGUUUAGUUACUUAGUUUAGAUAAACAAAUCCCUUAAUUUUUAGGCUAGAUAAUAAAAAGAAAGUAAUUACUAGUACUCUUGGUUCCUUUAGGUUCGACAAUCCGGUCUUGCUAAAGCUAUACUACUGUUCGAUAGGUACACUUUCCUUCAUCAUGAUAAUAGUUAGUUUCAAGAACAGUCAAUUAUAAAUUUUUUAAAACUUAUCGCGACGAGCAGAUCAAGUUUUUGGCGCCGUUGCCGGGGAACUAAGAUAUUAGAAACACUCAAUUUUUAUUACUUUAGCCGUUUUACUUUAUUUGCAAUUUAAAUUUUUAUUUUCUUUUCUAAUUUUCUCUUUUAUUCACUUCUAGCAGGUUUUUUUAUAUUGUAUGACUAGAAGAAACCCGUCGGGACCAUUACUUUUUGAUAGUGAGGUCGAUUGCACAGCUCGUAGAAACCGAAGAGAAAUAAGGCGAAGCUUAAGAGACACAGAGGAAGAGCAAGAGGACGAUAUUCAAACCACAACCGAGGAGAUGGAUGAAAAUCAAGAAAAUCCGCUACCUCCUACGAUUGUUUGUAACACCCCUCACUCGUAUCCAACGCCAGGAUACGGUUCGAGAUAUUACCAAACUUAAACAUUCACAACAUGCAAAAUCGGGCCACAAAAUUAUCACCAAAAAUUAAAACAUCUCGAACACAUGCAUAUCGUCCCUUAUAUAGGUCUUUGAAACUUAUAACAUACAUUGAGGUGUUUUGGGACUAAACCAAGAACUUUGAAAAUCUUUGGGCAAUUUAACUAAAUUUUCUUGCUUCGGAGAGUCACACGCCCGUGUGGAUUGGGCCGUGUGGUCACACACGUCGGUGUGGCUUGGGACACGCCCGUGUCCUGUGCCUAUGGAGCUCUCUGUCCAUUUGGUCAUGAACAAGUUAGGGUCACACAGCCAAGGCACACGCCCGUGUAUCUUUCCGUGUGGACAAUUUCAAGGCUAUUUUCCAAGCCAAUUGUCACCCUUAAUUACCUACAUACACUUAUACAUUUUAUAGCAAUUGACAUUGCAUAUUUGAGUAAUUAUAUAUAUCCACAAUCAAGGCACAAGCAUGGUAUUCUCAUAACAACACAUAACAUAUUACCAACCAUGCAUGGCAAACAAGCAUAUGCACAUCACCAAUAUCAGACAUAACAUGAAUAGCUAGAUUUAUAAGUCAGAAUCAUUAGCUCACUAAAGACCAAUAUAUUUGGUCAAAUUAUAAUAACACAUGUUAUAAAACUAGGUCCCUAUACAUGCCACUCACUUGAUAAUUCUAGCAUAUUUGUUUAUACUCUCAAGGUGUUGGUUUGAUAGUGUGAUGCUACCUACGACGAUCUCUAAACCCGAGCUAACCUGACAACACUAAAAGAAAUGGAAAGGAGGGGGUAAUUUUUACGCUUAGUAAGUUCGUAUGAAAAUAAUAAGCAAUUUACUAACAUGCUUUCCAUAGUAGCAUUAUCUCAAUUGUACAUUUACACAUGUUCUGGUUAAGCUAUUUUCUUGAGUCAUAGUCACUAAAUCAUUUAUAUCUGGAGCUACAGAACUUCAAAUUAAGAUCCUUAAAUGUUCCCAGAAACUAGACUCACAUAUAUUUCCACCAUAAAAUUUUCAGAAUUUUUUAUCUGGCCAAUAAGUACAGUUUACUAUUUAAAGUAUCCCCUAUUUUUUUGUUUGACAGCUUCGACCUUUCUUCACUAAAACUUAAUUAUCUCAUACUACGAUACUCAAAUAAUGUUCUUGUCUCUUUCUCUUGAAAUUAGACUCAUUAAUUAUUUCAUUCAUAUGAAUUUUAACUCAUAAUUAUUUUUGUACAAUUUCUAGUGAUUUUCCAAAUUUGAGAUAGGGGAGUCUGGAAUCACUCUGACUCUGGCUCACAAGAAUUCAAAUAUCUCAUGAUACAAAAUUCUUUUGCUUUCAUCGUUUCCUUUAUGUGAAACUAGGCUUAUUAAGCUUUAAUUUCAUAUUUUAUUAAGCUUCUAACUCAAUUUCCAAUAUUUUUAGUGGAUUUUCAAAUGCAGACUAAUGCUGCUCUCCAAAUCUAUUUUGGUACAAUAUAAUGAUCACUAUCAUAAGAUCAUUUCCAACUAUCAUGAACUUACCAUUUCAUGAAUCCCUUACUCAUUUUUCACAAUAGAGCUCAAUAAUAAUAAUGAUAACAUUACUUACAUUUAUUUUUCCACACGUUACAUUUACAACUUACCAACUUGUCCAUUGAAGGAACGGCUUACGGAUUUGAGUACAUCGUGAUCUAAAGCCCGAAGUCUAGCUGAAGCACAUAAGUGCUAAAUGGAAGCCCGAAGGCUAACUGAAGCACACAAGUGCUAAAUGGAAGCCUGAAGGCUAACUGAAGCACGCAAGUGCUAAACGGAAGCCGGAAGGCUAACUUAAGCUCAUCAGAGUUGAACUGAAACCCCAAAAGGGUUAACUGAAACUCAUAUGAGUUAACGGAAGCUCGUAAGAGCUAAACGGAAAGUAAACAUGAGAAUUCGUAACAAAUGCUGAAUCUCUGUUUACUUGGGUAAUUUACUGUCAAUUCAUCUUUUUCACUGAACAAUCGUACUCAUUUCUUGCGUUCCGUUCCUCCAAAAUACUCAGUUCAAUUUCGUAACUUUUGUACAUAAUUUACUUAUUUUCAACAAUUAACAUACAUAAAUAUUAAUCAUUAUUCAUAAAAUAAUAUUAAAAUUUAAUAAUUUAACCGUACAAACUUACCUCAGAUCCAGAAAUGACAAUUUACCAUUCUAGUCCAUAACAUUGUAUUUUCCCGAUUUAAGCCCAAAUCUCGAUUUCCUUGAUUAUUAAGCUUGAAAGCUUGGCCAAACCCUAACCAUGGCUGCUCUUGGUAGAUUCUACUGUAGCAAGAAGAAAGGGACACAUUUGGGGUUUAAAAUUUGUCUUUUAAUUCAUUUUACCCUUAAAUGACCAAAAUGCCCUUUUUACUAUUCUUUCAAAUUUUACCCAACCAGGGCCAUUUUUGUCCAACAAGUUAUACAAUGGUUUAAUUAUCAUUUAAGGACUUCUCAUUUAAAAUUUCAUGACAAUUAGACACCUCUAACAUAUAAAACGCAACUUUUGCACUUUUUAUAAUUUAGUCCUUUUUACUAAAUUGAGUGCCCAAACGUCGAAAUUUUCGAACGAGAUUUUCACAAAAUCAUUCCGGGAAAUCGUAGACCAUAAAAAUAUAAUAAAAAUGAAAUUUUCCUCAUCAAAUUUGUGAUCCUGAAACCACUGUUCCGAUUAAGUCCAAAAUCGGGAUGUUACAUUUCUCCCCCUUUAGGGAUUUUCGUCCCCGAAAAUCUCACCAGAAAAGUGGUUUUGGUGUUUCACUUGGAUUCUUCAAUCCUAUAAUUGAUGUCAAAGAACUUUCACUCAGGCUAAACUUUUACUACAUAUCUCUUUAAAUUUUACAUACAAAAAUCAUAAGUGGUAUUCACUUUACAAUACUUUUACUGAAACUUAAUCUCUACCAGAAAGCUUAUGCACUCAAAAGUCCGAUCCAUACCAUCAUGUUACAUAUACAUUCACACCCGAAUCUUUUCAGAUUCGAAUAGUAAAACUAAUCAGUUCAUCUCAACCUCAUACUUUUUAUAAUUUCACACAAUCCAAUUAUUUGUCAAUUCAACCCUCAGCUGCUCUUUAUUCCAAGCCUCUUCUGGCUUUCCAAAGAAAUCAUGAUAUGAAACUCGGAUCUCAAUCCAAUUAGUGGAGAUUAAAAUUCCAUUAUAUCCAAAAUUCAUAAAGACACGAAAUUCUAUGAAUCUGGUGAGCAGACAUUCGGGUAUACCAACAUAAUUUACACAUCUCAUAACGUUUAACAACGCUACAUAUCACUUUCCUCUUUCAAGGACAGGAAUGAUCCAAACAAGAAAAUCCAUAUUAACCUUUUCUAUUUCCAUUCUAAUUCCCAAACGGCAAAAAUAAUUCUGAUGAUUCUUGCUAUCAAUUUCAACAUUUCAAGAAUUUGUACUCAAAGAUAAACAAUGAUCGUUUCAGCAUUUUUAAAUACCCAGAUUAUCUUCACAUUAUUAAUAUCAGAUCUUCUUAUCGCAUACGAUUCUUCUAGGAAACAUACACUUCUUAAUUAGUUAUUUGUCUUUUUACCCACGAAGAAAUAAAAUCUUAUUCUCAAGCAUGCACAUCUCAUUAAAUUCUAAACAUAUAUUCCAUACAGAUUGAACAAUCAAGUUGACCUUAUUCAUUUGUAAUUGAUAUUUCAAGAAAUUGUCUCUUCUAGUCAACAGAACGAUUCAACAUGCAUCAUUCCAAAUUCACUCAUCAUGCCAAUCAAAAACCAUAACAAAUGCAUUAGCAUAAGUAAUACUGAUACCUCUACUGAAUACAUUAACUCUAAUUAACUUACUUGAGAAAGGAAAUCCACCAUACACAUUAGGACUUGAAAUUUCACCACAUUAUCAAGAUCAAUUCAGAGUUAGAUCAAUUCAGAGUUAUAGUCAUACUUGUUCUUUAUAUACAUCAAUCACAAGCUGGAGGUCAUGCUCUAAAUGCAAGGCAUGAUCAAAAAGUUACAAGAUAAAAUAUCCAGAAAACCCAAGAUAGAGAAAUCUGAAACGAAGAAGCCCAGAAUAAAGAAAUCCAAGAUAAAGAAAUCCAUGAUAAGGAAAUCCCAUUUACAGCACUGCAUCAGAAGACCGAGAACUAGACUCAAAAAUAUGAAAGACCCCAAUGGUUUUUCAAAGAAAAGAAAUCCAGAAUAACAUCAUUCCAAAACACUAACAACAAAUACAACCAUAACUAUAUGCUUCUCAUAUAUAUAUAAUCAAUCAGAGCAAUGAUCGGUAGAAAUAGAAUCACGGCACCAUACACAAUUUCUCAUCGAUUCCCAACAGGUGAAAUAUAACAAAAUACUAGAGGAAGACAGAACCAUGCAUAUUAUAAUCCAAUCAGACUGACAACACAUUCGUCUAACAUUAAGAUCAGGGAACAUUUUCAUAAUAUAAGAAUUCAUCAGGGAUUAGAUAGCCCCAAUAAUAUUUCCGGUGUCAGAUAGUCUCAUACCAUAUCUCAAUAGAGACAAUCACAAAUUGUUCACUGUAAUUACCAUGCUUGGACAUUUCAUAUUUCGAACAUUAUUCCUUUAACUAUUUCUGCCAUCCCAAAUUCCAUAAUAUUCCAUUUACUAAGAAAACCAAUUCAUGAGGGAAUUUCAAUCAAUACAUUUCUCGACAUCAUACCAAGAUAGAUCGUUUUACCAAAAUUAACCUUUUUCACUAACUGCGAUGUUGCGAAAAUUAAACAAUUUUUCGGUCAAUCCGAUAUCUUUCUAGCUCAUGUCUGUACUUAUCAACCCAUUCUCAAUCUCUAAUCAUGCUUAUAACCAUUCCAUCAAAAUCAUUCAACAUAAAUAUCAAGAAUUUCCAUUAUAAAACACCACUUUGGUAAGGGGAAGAGGGUCAUAGGGCCUCUGACUCAACUCUCAUAUAUAUAUACACGUAACACAGUUUUCAUCAUAGCAAUCAUAUCUCAAUCAUGUCAUUCAUUUCGAGUAACUAACAUUCAUAUUGAUUUUACACCCACUUUCCAGUUAUCUCAUCUAAACAAGUGUACUUAUACAUGUAAUUCCAUGUUUCCUAGAUAAUCUUACUUAUCCAUUCAUUAAAUCAGACAAGUCAAGCACAUAAUAUCAUAUAAGGGCCAAACAAACAUGGAUAAGUAUAUAACAGUCAAAACUUUCAUCUUACACAUCAUCGUAUAAAUAUCAUUACAAUCAUAUAUAUCAGUCCAAACAAUUUAAUACAUUUACUCAAGUUAUAUGAGCUUACCAAUCAUAAUCAUCCCAACCAAUAAACAUGAAUAUUCAUCUUAUCAAUAUUUUUGAUAAGUUACUCAAACACAUGCAUUUGUUCAAAUAAAUCGAUCAUAUACAUCAUAGAAUUAUCUAUUAAUCAUAGAUAAGCUCAUUUCACCAUGUACACAUGUCAUGAAUCCUCAUUCGUACCUUUCCAAGUUUCAGUUCAUCAUGACUAUACUUUACUCGAAUAUUUUAGCAUCACAUUCAACAUGGUUGGUGUAGCUCAGUUGGAGAGUACCUUUGUCUAAACAAAGUGGCUCUCAUACACGUCAGAAGACAUUACACUAUCAUGGAUCGGUGGCAUGUAUAGCUGGACUUUUACACAUGCUAGGCUAGUCCGAGAAAUGACUAAACCAUAGCUUUGAUACCACUAAAUGUAACACCUCUCACCCGUAUCCAACGCCGGGAUAAGGUUCGAAGAGUUACCGGACUUAAACAUUCACAACAUGCAAAAUCGGGCCACAAAAUUUUUACCAAAAUUAAAACAUCUCGAACACAUGCAUAUCGUCCCUUAUAUAGGACUUCGAAAUCUAUAACAUACAUUGAGGUGGUUCGGGACUAAACCAGGAACUUUGAAAAUCUUUGGGCAACUUAACUAAAUUUUCUUGUUUUUGAGAGUCAUACACCCAUGUGGAUUGGGUCGUGUGGUCACGCACGUCCGUGUGGCUUGGGACACGCUCGUGUCCUGUGCCCAUGGAGCUCUCUAUCCAUUUGGUCAUGAAUAAGUUAGGGUCACACGGCCAAGGCACACGCCCGUGUAUCUUUCCGUGUGGACAGUUUCAAGGCUAUUUUCCAAGCCAAUUGUCACCCUUAAUUACCUACAUACACUUAUACAUUUCAAGCAAUUAACAUGACAUAUUUGAGUAAUUAUAUAUGUCCACAAUCAAGACACAAGCAUGGCAUUCUCAUAACAACACAUAACAUAUUACCAACCAUGCAUGGCAAACAAGCAUAUGCACAUCACCAAUAUCAGACAUAACAUGAAUAGCUAGAUUUAUAAGUCAGAAUCAUUAGCUCACUAAAGACUAAUAUAUUUGGCCAAAUUAUAAUAACACAUGUUAUAAAACUAGGUCCCUAUACAUGCCACUCACUUGAUAAUUCUAGCAUAUUUGUUUAUACUCUCAAGGUGUUGGUUUGAUAGUGUGAUGCUGCCUCCGACGAUCUCCAACCCUGAGCCAACCUGACAACACUAAAAGAAAUGGAAAUGAGGGGGUAAGUUUUACGCUUAGUAAGCUCACAUGAAAAUAAUAAGCAAUUUAUUAACAUGCUUUCCAUAGUAAAACUAUCCCAAUUGUACAUUUACACAUGUUUUGGUUAAGCUGGUUUCUUGAGUCACAGUCACUAAAUCAUUUAUAUCUAGAGAUUCGGAACUUCAAAUUAAUAUUCAUAAAUUUUCCCAGAAACUAGACUCAUAUAUCUUUACACUAAAAUUUUUUUCAAAAUUUUUGGUCUAGCCAAUAAGUACAGUUUAUUAUUUAAAUUAUCCUUUAUUUUUUGUUUGACAACUUUGACCUUUCUUCACUAAAAUUUAAUUAUCUCAUAGUACGAGACUCAGAUAAUGUUCCUGUCUCUUUCUCCUAAAAGUAGGCUAGUAUUUCAUUCAUAUAAAUUUUAACUUAUAAUUAUUUUUGUACAAUUUCUUGUGAUUUUCCAAAGUUGAAACAGGGGAGUCUGGAAUCACUCCGACUCUGUCUCACAAGAAUUCAAAUAUCUCAUGAUAAAAAAUUCUUUUGCUUUCACCGUUUACUUUAUGUGAAACUAGGCUCAUUAAGCUUUAAUUUUAUAUUUUAUUAAGCUUCUAACUCAAUUUCCACUAUUUUUAGUGGAUUUUCAAAGCCGGACCAAUGCUGCUAUCCAAAUCUAUUUUGGUACAAUAUAAUGAUCACUAUCAUAAGAUCAUUUCCAACUAUCAUGAACUUACCAUUUCAUGGAUCUCUUACUCAUUUUUCACAAUGGAGCUGAAUAAUAAUAAUGAUAACAUUACUUAAAUUUAUUUUUCCACACGUUACAUUUACAACUUACCAACUUGUCCAUUCAAGGAACGGUUACGGAUUUGAGUACAUCAUUAUUUGAAGCCCAAAGUCUAGCUGAAGCACAUAAGUGCUAAACGGAAGCCCGAAGGCUAACUGAAUCACACAACUGUUAAAAGGAAGCCCGAAGGCUAACUAAAGCACAAAAGUGCUAAAUAGAAGCCCGAAGGCUAACUUAAGCUCAUCAGAGUUGAACUGAAACCCCAAAAGGGUUAACUGAAACUCAUAUGAGUUAACGGAAGCUCGUAAGAGCUAAACGAAAAGCAAACACGAGAAUUCGCAACAAAUGAUGAAUCUCAGUUUACUUGGGUAAUUUACCGUCAAUUCAUCUUUUUCACUGAACGAUCGUACUCAUUUCUUGCGUUCCAUUCGUCUGAAAUACUCAGUUCAAUUUCGUAACUUUUGUACAUAAUUUACUUAUUUUUAACAAUUAACAUACAUAAAUAUUAAUCAUUAUUCAUAAAAUAAUAUUGAAAUUUAAUAAUUUAACUGUACGAACUUACCUCGGAUCCAGAAAUGGCAAUUUACCAUUCUAGUCCAUAACCUUGUAUUUUCCCGAUUUAAGCCCAAAUCUCGAUUUCCUUGAUUAUUAAGCUUGGAAGCUUAGCCAAACCCUAACCAUGACUGCUCUUGGUACAUUCUGUUGUAGCAAGAAGAAAGGGACACAUUUGGGGUUUAAAAUUUGUCUUUUAAAUCAUUUUACCCCUACAUAACCAAAAUGCCCUUUUUACUAUUCUUUCAAAUUUUACCCAACCAAGGCCAUUUUUGUCCAACAAGUUAUACAAUGGUUUAAUUAUCAUUUAAGGACUUCUAAUUUAAAAUUUCAUGACAAUUAGACACCUCUAACAUAUAAAAACAAACUUUUGAACUUUUUACAAUUUAGUCCUUUUUACUAAAUUGAGUGCCCAAACAUCGAAAUUUUUUAUCAAAAUUUUCACGAAAUCAUUCCAUGAAAUUGUAGGCCAUAAAAAUAUAAUAAAAAUGAAAUUUUCCUCAUCGAAUUUGUGGUCUCAAAACCACUGUUCUGACUAAGCCCAAAAUCGGGAUGUUACAUUGCUGUUGAUCCAGUAAAUCAAAAUCAUGCUCCACGCACUAUGUAUGAUUAUGCUAAACCGAAUUUAACAGGAACUGAGUCAUGUAUAGUUAGGCCUGCUAUUGCUACAAAUAAUUUUGAAUUGAAACCUAACAAGACUCAAAUGAUACAGCAAUUUGUUCAGUUUGAUGGUUUGCAGGAUGAGGAUCCAAACACUCACUUGGUGAAUUCUUUAGAACUCUCUUCACAUUUAAAGUUAAUGGCGUCCCUUAUGAUGCCAUUCAUCUUUGUUUAUUUCCCUUUUCAUUAAGGAAUAAGGCUAAACAGUGAUUGAACUCGUUACCACGAGGGUCAAUUACUACUUGGGAACAAAUGACCGAAAAGUUUUUACUAAAAUAUUUCCUGCCGGCUAAAACGGCUAAAUUAAGGAAUGAUAUCUCUUCUUUUGUGCAGAUGGAUCUAGAAACACUCUACGAUGCAUGGGAGAGAUACAAGGAUCUGUUGAGAAGGUGCCCUCACCAUAGGCUACCACUCUGGCUACAGGUUCAAACUUUUCACAAUGGCCUGAAUCCUUCAACUAGACAGAUGGUUGACUCAGCCGCUAGUGGGACUAUCAAUAAUAAGACACUUGAGGAUGCUUAUGAAUUUAUAGAAGAUAUGUCACUGAAUAAUUAUUAGUGGCAAGUCAUAAUGAUAAAGCCAACGAAAGCAGCCGGCAUUUUUAACGUCGAUUCGGUCACCAUGCUCUCUAAUCUGGUAGAACUUUUGAAUAGAAAAAUGGACAGUUUUCUUGGUUCUUCACAGGUUCACCCAGUAAUGCAAUGCAAUCCAAGUGGAGGAGGGACGAGCAAUUUAGAAUACCCACUUUAUGGCUACAUCAUGGAAAAUGAGCAAUUAAAUUAUAUGGGUAAUAAUCCUUGACCUCAAAAUAAUGCUUAUAAUAACACUUACAAUGCAGGAUGGAGGAACCACCCAAAUUUCUCAUGGGGUGGCAAAGGGAAUCAGAGACCACCACCACCUCCUGGCUUCCAACAACCACUUUACCCACAAGAAAAGAAACCGAACCUUGAGGAGAUGCUAACAAAGUUUAUCUCGGUGUCAGAAAUUCACUCUCAAAUACCGAAACAGCACUUAAGAAUCAACAGGCAUCAAUCCAAGGGCUCGUAACACAGAUAGGCCAACUCUCCAAAUUGAUUUCUGAAUGACCACAAGGUAGCCUGCCAAGUAACACUGAAUCUAACCCAAGGGAACAACUCAACGCAAUUACCAUCUAAGACGAGGAAGGGUUAGUUGAACCUGAACUUGAACCGAGGCAAGGAAUUGUGGUAAGUAAAGGUAAAGACGAGGUAGACCACAGUAAGCAGAAACCGGUAAGUAAAGAGUACAAAUCACGAGUGCCAUACCCCAAUGCGACAAGGAAAUAUUGCACAGAUGAACAAUUCGGUAAAUUCCUUAAACUAUUAAAGAAAUUACACAUUAACUUACCGUUUAUUGAAGCUCUUUCGCAGAUGCCAAAUGCAGUCAAAUUCUUAAAGAAGCUUUUAGCAAAUAACAGAAGUUGGAUGAGGCGUCGUAUGUGGAGUUAAAUAUAGUUUGCUCAGCCAUUCUACAGAACAAGCUUGCCAACAAAUUGAAAGAUCUAGGGAGUUUUACGAUUCCUUAUUUAAUUGGUAGUUUAAAUGUUAAAAUGGCUGAUUUAAGGGCUAGUAUUAAUGUCAUACCCUAAAAAAUGUUUAAACAACUAGGUCUUGGGAAACCCAAACAAACUAGGAUGAGUAUUCAGUUAGCCGAUAAAGCUAUCAGAUUUCCUAGAGGUAUCAUUGAAGAUGUACUUGUAAAAAUUGAUGAAUUUAUAUUCCCAAUCGAUUUUGUUGUUCUAGACAUAGAAGAGGGUAGUAACGCACCACUAAUUCUAGGAAGGACCUUUUUAGCAACUGCUAGAACCGUUAUCGAUGUUGGUACAUGUGAACUCACACUUUGUGUGGGUGAUGACUCAGUUACUCUCCAAGCUCGUAAUCCUAUUAAUACUGACCAUGUGGUGCAACCUUCUUUACAGGAAACACUUUUGAAGAGCAUACAUGAGCCUUGUUCAAGUAACAACAAAAAACCCAUCUAUGAAGAACGAAGGCUACAAAUCGAGGACCUAGAUGAAUGGCGAACACAUAAACCAAGGACACACGAUAAACCAAAACCAAUCCAUGACAAGCUCAAUAUUUCACCAAAUCAACUUAUGGUUGGAAACAAAGUACUACUAGAUGCAGCAGACCCUCGUAUUGCCACUCCUAAACCUAACGAAGCAAUCCCUCUUACAGUACUCAGCAUUUUUCCAUAUGGUAUAGUCGAGGUAAUUUAUCCCAAAUUCGGCACUUUUAAGGUAAAUAGUACCCGUCUAAAACUUUAUUUUGAUGAAAUUGAUAGCAUGAACGAGGAGUGUAAACUCCUCGCACCACUAUGACCAUGCAAAAGGGAGGUAAGUCGAGCUUAGACUCUAAAUAAGCGCUUCUCGGGAGGAAACCCGAGUACUAACAGUAUUAAUUUCUUUAAGUUUUAGUUUUUAACAUCUAACCACUAACUUAGUCUUUGAAUACAGCUUUUGGAAAACCACAUGGCCAGGUCCACAUGCGUGUCUUAGGCCAGGCUCACACCACGGGAGGAGACACGGCUGUGCGAUCUGGUCGUGUGAAACAAGGGAAAAGUUUUUCCCUAACACCGGAUGCGAUAAGUUGCUACGAGCGUCAGACGUAGCCAUGGGCGAACCUGUCAAAACAACACGGACGUAUGACACACCCGUGUCUUGAAGUCGUGGUCGACACUGAGAAAUUAACACGGGCGUGCGACACGCCACUGUCAAACCAACACGGUGUGCGUAUUUGAACAUGGGUAUGAGAGAAGCGAAUGAAGUAGAACACGGGUGUGUGACACUUCCAUGUGAACCAAUACGGCCAAAGAACACGGGCGUGGGACAAAUUUCACACACGCUCAAAUUUAAAAAUCGCAAAACACAUGGGCUAAAAUUAGGGCACGCGGACGUACCCCACAGCCGUGUGCCCCAAAAUCUAUAUAAACCCCUCACUAUUCAUCAUCCCCUUCCCCAAAAUCCCUAACCCUAAUCACUGCAACUCCUUCACACACCUUUCCUGCCACUCCCGUACACCGAACACAGCACCACCAUCGAUGACCCAAGGUCCUUCCUCUACCAAGCUCUUGUGUUUAUUCAUUAUUUUCUCUUCAUUUCGUUUACUAAUUUGAUUUUUUUUGCUUUAUUUUGACUGUUAAUCUUCAUAGUUCUAAUAAUACCAAUGCUUAUACCAUUUGUUUCUUGCUAAUCUAGUUGAUGGGUUAUGGUACAUUCAUUCUUGUGUUGCCAUGGACUUCAAUCUAUUUCCCAUAUUAUCAUUCUCAUAUGCAUCCAUUCACUAGGAAUUAUUCUCGUAUUCCUAUUCGUAGUAAUGAAUUAAAAUAUCUGAUUUGGUUAUCUUUCAGCAUAAUUGUUUUUAGUACAUGACUCCUAUGGAGUAUCUCUAUUUAGUUCUAACAUGCAUUGCAUAUUUGUCCACGUUAUUGUUGGGGAGUAAUUUUAUUUUUAUUUUGUCUUGCCAUUGUAGAUUUCAUGUCAAAUCAUGGUAAGAAAACUAUCGUACCCACCUCAAAGAAGAGGAAAGGAGCAGUAUCAUCGUCGAGCCCUAACGCGAAAAUUAGACACCCAUUCUUCCAGUUUCCCUUGGGACCCUAGGAGGAACUUUUCCAGAUACUUCGGGCCCAACCCUUAGGUGCGGGCCGUUGUAUUGAUUGGACCGCACUCGAACAAAUCCAACUAGCUGACGCGGUUCGAGCUCUUCGGACGACUGAUCUGAGGGAGCUCUUCUUUAGGAUCAUCGAGCCGACGUACCUCGAGCUCACACUGGAACUCUAUUCAACAUUCCACUUUCAAACCAUUAUGAUAGAGUUCGAUGAUCCAGGAACAGUCCAAAUCCGCCUCGGUGGCUUGGUUUGCCAAUUGAGCGUACCUGAGUUUAGAAUUGCACUGGGGCUAUAUACGGAGGAAUUCAUGUACGACAACGAACUCGACACCCUACAUUGCCACAUCUACUACUCUCCUUCGAAUUGCUGGCAAGUCUUAGUCCUUGCCUCGGCCACCUACGACCCUAGUCGCUCCAAGGCAUCGGCCUUCGACCCAUCCCUGAGGUAUUUACACGCCAUCUUGGCCCACACUCUGACAAGACGGCGAUAGAGUACUAGCGUUGUCAACACUCACGACACCUACUAUUUAUGAAGUAUGGCACAUGGGCACGUCUUUGACCUUGCCUAUUUCAUCGCCCUCUCCAUUUGCCAUCAAACGGAGCGGCAUAAGAAGGGGGUCAUCUCCAUUGGCCCCUAUGUGACUCAACUUUCACGGCACUUCGGGCUCCUCGACACGGCGGUGCAGGUAUCCUUCCUCACACUCAUCGGUCAGAUGUCCUCACAGGGCAUCUCGAGUAUGCUACACAUGAGGAUGAUAGAGCGAUGAUGUGGAGUUGAUCCUUCCUAGUAUCGCCUCGUCUAGUCAGCCGAGCAGGAGGACCCCGAGGACAUUACUGAAGAUGUCUCUCCAUGACACGAUGAUUCACAGUCUCAGCCACCACCUACCCAUCAUUCAGUUCAUGCGGCGGCUUCAUACUCUGACAUCUCUGAGUGCCUCACUCAAUUUGAGCAGCAGUGUUCUCAACGCUUUGAUCACAUUGAUGCUACUCUACAUCAGACUUGUCAGCGCCUUCACAUCUCAUCACCACCAGCACCUCGCGAACCUCUGGCGAUGACGAUACUUAAAGACUUUUUAUUAUUUUUUAUGUUUUUACUUUUAUCAUUUUAAAACUACUUUUUAUUUUAUUCUUCUUUAAUUUUCUUUUUAUUUCAUCCUUAGGUUUUAUAAUUUAUAUUGAACAAUUUAUGCUUUCAGCUAUUUCUUUUCGAGUAAUUAUGCUUCUUUAUAUUUCCUAAAGAGUUCUUGAUUUUAUCACAGUUAUUAAGAGCUCCAAAGCUCACCAUCACUUAGGAACUUGAAAAUCCACUGGAAAAGGUUCUCCACGACUAUCAUGUCCUGCCCGACCACCACGAUAACCUCUUCGCUAGGCACUGUGGUUGUGGAACCCAAUCUCUACCACCACCAGAGUAUACUCCUCCAAUCUUAUCAUUUCCUUGGCCGAUUAUUCUCCAUAACUCCAAUUCAAGGAGUCCAUUCAUCAUUCAGAAAGUUUCACUUCUCUCCUUAUCUUAUGAUCUUAUAUCUAUAUCAUCGUAAAUCUAACUUUGUACACAUCUUAAAGUGUGGGAGGGGGGUUGUUUAUAUCUUUAUCAGAAAAAUCCCUAAAUUUUGUCUUAUCCUCAUGUGAUCCUCUCAUAUCAGUAUUAGAAUGAAUUUUGAUUAAUUUAUGAUCUUUAUUGAUAUGUCUUGAAUUAAAACAUAGGCAUUUAUGCACUGAUGGUUUAAACUUUAAGGAAUUAGAGAAUCAAGCAUGAUAAGUUGAUUUUUGAGUUUUAAAAAUUUUUAGCUUGUUUCCCCAAGUUCAGGUAUUAUCUUGAGUUGAAAUUCACAGGUUUAACAUCAAAAAGCCAUAAUUUUUGUGAGAUCUUGAACCUUUAAGAUCAUCUAUUAUUUAUUUCAUGCUCAUUUUUAUUGUUGCUUUGAGCGCGUCAAUCUUGAUUUGUUAUUCUAGAACUUGCUUGCUAAUACAUGUCAAGACCACACCUUUGAUUUGAUAUGUCAAGAUGAUAAAGGCACUUAGGUUUAACCCAUUCACUCCAUAAAAGCCUACCUUUAUAAUUAACCCUUAGUGAACCCCUUUGAGCCUAACAAGCCAUUCAUUGAUUUACCCUCAAUAUUAACCCAUAACCUAUUAUUGUUGAAAUCCCCUAAUUUGAUCCCUAUUUUUGUCGAGAUUUGAUUUGAAUUAAUUGCUUAGCUAUGUUUUAUUUUUUUUUUUGUAAUAAUUAGCAAAGUUCUAUGUUCUAUGUUAUUUGGCUUGUUCUUAAAAAAAAUGCAUUCAUAUUAGUAGUAAUUCUUUAUUUUUGAGCUUAAGUUUUUAAAUUCCUUAUCCCAUGAAUAAAAGCUCAAUUCUAGGAUUUUCUAAUUAAAAAUGUAAUUUAUCAAGUUGUAGUAUUUUUAUAGUUAGGUAAUUUUUCAAUUCAAUCUCGAUUCUAACUUUCUCUUUCAGCUUCUAACCACACCCCCUAACCAAAGCCACGAUACAACCCUCUGAAGACCUUUUGAUUGAUGAAUCAUCUCAAUAUAUAGUGGUGGAGAUUUGAUUUUCACGCAAGCCUAUGGUAAUAACUUUUCAUAUUAACUAUUGAGUGCUAAAUUUCAUGUCCUUAAACACCUCGAGUGAUUUGAGUGAAUCUUUAGUGAGAAGGUUAAACUUUGUGAUAUUUUGAAUCAAAGGUAAUCACUUAGAUGAGGGGAGACACCUAUGUUUUCGUGAUAAAAUGCUCAACUUGGAAUGUUUGAAAGUUUGAUGUUCUUCUAGUUGAAUUCUCAAUGUGUGAUUACUUAUGGUUUAUUUUGAGAGACUAUUGAUGAGAAUUAUAAUUUGAGAAGAAUUUAUUUUGAUUGUGAGUUGAAGAUUUUACUUGAGGACAAGCAAACGCUUAAGUGUGAGGGUAUUUGAUAAACCAUAAUUUAUACAUAUUUUUACCUCAUUCUUAGCAUUUUUUGGAUGAAUUAUCCUUAGAUUUGGUGAAUUCGAUGCUCCUAAUCCUUUAAUUUCAUGUUUUAUACUUAGGUGAGCAUAGGAGAGUAAAAAGAGCGAGAAAUGGGCCGAAAACGAAGAAAAUGGACCAACAUGGGAAAUCAACACGGCCUGGACUUCCUCACAUGGGUAAGCCACACGGUCGUGUUCAUUUGGCAAAAUCGAAGCACGACUUACACGGGUAGACCACGCGCCCGUGCCUAUGUAACAGCCUUGAACACGGAUUGAAGAAAUCGCACACAGGCGUGUCACACGGGUGUGUCCCUGUUAAGCCCGAGUUUAGUUCUAUUCGAAAAAGGCCACUCUUGAGGGCUUUUAGGCAUUCUAAAGCCUAUUUAAACACCUGAGGAGGAACUUAGAAGAGACACACAGAGUAGGAGGCAAUGAAUUACUUAAAGAAAGCCGAUUUAUCCAUCUCAGAAGCCGGAUUCAUCGUCAAGACUGAAGAUCGCCCUUCAAUUUCCUUCAGGAGUUUUAGGUUUUCUUUAUGUUUUGUUAUCUUUAUUCUUUUGAGAUGUUUUCUUUCAUAAUUAUAAACUAAACCCCUUAAAUACCUAAAGGGAAUGAAACCUAAGACGGAUCUUGUUAUUAUUAUCUGAAUUGUAUGAUAAAUUUUUGACUUUUUCUUAAUUAUGUGUUCUUAAUUCUUAUUUUAAUAUUCCAGGAUAUUGAUUCAAGUUAAUGCGCUUAUUCAGAGGAGCAAAAGUCUCUAUCUAAGAGUAAAUUUGUCGUAAUUAAGCGGAGUUGAUUGCACGACUAGAGAUAGGGUAACAAAAUUUUGACGGAUUAGGAUGAAACCUAAUAAGGGAGUCCAUAGAUCGAGUUAAUGCAACACUAGGGUGUUGAUUAAAAAGAGAAUUCAAUUAACCAACCUAGGGUUAGAUAUUAUUAGUCUCGAGAGAGAUAAUAAUAUAACUUUGGGAUUUCUACGGAUCAAGUCAAAUGAAUAAAUCGUCUGAUUUAGAGUCAAAUAACAAGUGAAGUCUAGGUGGAUUUUUCCUUGGGUAUUGUCUUAAUCAAUCGAGUUUUCCCAAAAGCUUUCCCCAAUUUUCUCUCUAUGCACCCUUAGUUUAGUUAAUUAGUUUAGAUAAACAAAUCCCUUAAUUUUUAGGCUAGAUAAUAAAAAAAAGUAAUUACUAGUACUCUUGGUUCUUUUGGGUUCGACAAUCCGGUCUUGCUAAAGCUAUACUACUGUUCGAUAGGUACACUUGCCUUCAUCAUGAUAAUAGUUAGUUUCAAGAACGGUCAAUUAUAAAUUUUUUAAAACUUAUCGCGAUGACCAAAUCAUUACCCGCUUCCUUUUCCACUACGAAAUCUUAACUGGUUGAAGCAGUCCAGAGGGCAACUGAUGUUUGGCCUUAACUGUAACGCCCCAAUUUUCGGGAAUUCUGUGAAUGUUGGCAUAGGUUUAAUUAUGUUAGUGGGCCUCUAGAAGGCCGAAGCUUAAGAUAGAACCCGGCAAUUUUAGUUAAUUUUUGUUCCAUAAGAAAAAUGGGGUGAAAUUAUGAAAUAGAACCUAUGUGAAAAUGUUUGAAAAUGCUAUAGGCUAAAUUGAAGUGGCCAAAUAAAUAGGAGUGCAAAAUAGGAGGAUUUGCAUGACAAACCUCCCAUUUUACAUGAAGUGGCCAGCCAUCAUGUUGUUGUAGACAAUAUGAGCACUUGAUAUCCAUAAUUCAUGGUACAAAUUGAUAAUGGGUUAGGUAAAUGUUCCAUGAUAAUGAAUUAGGUAAAUAUUCCAUGAUGGGCAUUUCAUGUCUUUUGUAUUAAAGAAUUAAAUGGAUGAAAUAUGAAAUUUUAUUAAAAAAAAAGGGGUGAAAAGAACAAAGUUUUGUCCACAUUUGUUCAUCAUAGCCGAAAGUUAGAGAAGAGAAAGGAGAGGAGAAAGCUCUUGAAUGUUCGAUCACUUGGGGAAGAAAAUUGAAGGUAAGUUCAUGGUAGUUUGCUUCUAUCUUGAUGUUCAUGAGUUCUUCUUGAUUCUACCUUAACUCUUGAAGCAUAUUUUGGUUUUUAGUUGUGUUGUGAGCAUUUAGUCAUGAAUUAAAAUGAAGGAAAUGGUUGUUGUUUCAUAUUCUUUUGAUGAAAAAUAGAAGAUAGGUGAAGUUGAGCCAAACAAAUGAGCAUGCAUGUGCCUUAGAUGCUAAGGGGAAAAAUCGGCUAACAUGUUGUACUUUAAAAUGAUGAAAUGAAGAUUAUACUUAAGUAAAAUCAUAGAUAUGUGAUGAUUGAUUGGUGAUAUACAUGUUUAAAUAACAAGCAUGCAAGUUAGGUGUGAAAGAGUGAUUUGGUAAUAAAUCUGCUUGGGACAGCAGCAGUAACGUGACUUUGGAAAAUCACCAUAAAUUGUGGGAGAUGAGUUAGAAGCUGCAUAAAUUAUGUAAUUAAAGCUUAAUGAGUCUAGUUUCAAAUGGAAUAAAUGAGAACUGUAACACCCCAAUCCCGUAUCCGUCGCCGAAAUAGGUAAUGGGGCAUUACCGGACUUGAAACUCAUAUCAGAACAGUAAAAAAAAUUUUUUUUUGAACAUUCCUUUAGAUAAGUACUAAAGACAGUCAGGGAUACAAUUUAAACUUCUAUAAGUACACAUUCAAAAGAUGCCAUUUUCGCAUGGCUUAUAUACAUUAACCAAAAUAUUCUUCGACCACUGGUCUAUUCUAUACAUGCCAUAAAAUAAUUCUAAACAUAAUAGUAACAAGUAGUGGAUAGUGAUAGUGUGACUAGUUGCUGACAAUUCCCGAGCCUGUAGCUUCGAAAUGAGAUCUAUAAAAUAGAGAAAACAAAGUAAACGGAGUAAGCAUUACAAUGCUUAGUAAGUUUUAAGCAGUGUCAACAGAUAACAAUCAAAUUAUAACAUAGUUGUUUGUAUUUUUAUUUCACUCUUCCUUCGGGCAUACCAUCCCUUUACCGAAUAUGCACAUCUCAUCAUAUACAAUAGGCAGAUAAACUUUCACAUAAAAGUGAGGUCAUGUGACAUAGAUAUAUUGUAUAAUUUCACAUAACCUCUCACACUGAUCCGAUGUCACAUAAUCAUAGGAAUAGUCUCAUAGAUUGCUCUCGUAUGCAUCACAUAUCAACCUUAUGAUUUAGUUCAAAUCAAGCUCACAUAUAAACUUGGAGUACAUACCUGUUUAACCUUUCGCAUUGAAUAUAUUUAUAAGCAAUUCUUAUUACGAAGUCUUAUAGCUUUAACCUCUACUCAGAUUAUCGGCGAGACCUUUAGCUCAGACGAAAUCUCCACACGAAGUUAUCGGGUCUUACCCGGACAAAAUCUCCACACGUAGUCAUCGGGUCUUACCCGGACAUAAUCUCCACACGUAGUCAUCGGGUCUUACCCAGAAUAUAUUUCCAAGUUUCAUGUACAUUUAAUCACAUGUUACAACAUUCACAUCGACUGUCAUAUUUGUAAUUCAUUUGCCUCAUCAAAUAUCUAAUAAUACACACCUUUCACAUUUGGUCAUUCGGCCACAAUAUACGCACAUCGCCUACAUAUUUCACACUAGCCAUUCGGCUUUACCACAUAUACAUAUCUCAUACAUAUUUCACACUAGCCAUUCGGCUUUACCACAUAUACAUAUCUCAUAUAUAUAUAUUUCACAUUGACCAUUCGGCUUUACCAUAUAUGCAUAUCUCAUACAUAUUUCACAUUAGCCAUUCGGCUUUACCACAUAUACAUAUCUCAUACAUAUUUCACACUAGCCAUUCGGCUUUACCACAUAUACAUAUCUCAUACAUAUUUCACACUAGCCAUUCGGCUUUACCACAUAUACAUAUCUCAUACAUAUUUCACACUAGCCAUUCAGCUUUACCACAUAUACAUAUCUCAUACAUAUUUCACAUUAGUCAUUCGGCUUUACCACAUAUACAUAUCUUAUACAUCAAUUUCAGCAAUAGCUUAUAAGCAACUCAAAUAGUUUCAUCAAUGUUUACAACAAAUUCACAUAUUCACUACAAGCUGUUUUCCUGAGCAAUAGUCACUAAAUUAUUUAUAACUGGAGCUACAAAACUCAAAAUCAAUUGCCGUUAAUUUUCCCUGAAUAUAGACUCAUAUAUCUUCCAUCCAUAAGAUUUUCAGAAUUUUAGAUUUGGCCAAUCAAUACCAGAUUUUUCUUAAAGUUUCCCCUGUUUCACUGUUUGACUAAUCUGACUACUCUUCACUACGAAUCAAAUUUCUCAUUUUACAGAAUUCAAAAUGUGUUCUAUUUGAUUUCAUUUGAAACUAGACUCAUUAAGGAGUCUAAUAAUAUAAAUUUUAUAUUAUAACCAUUUUUUUACAAAUUAUAAUGAUUUUCUAAAAACCGAACAGGGGAUUUCAGAGUCAUUCUGACACCGUCUCACUCAACUUUAAAUAUCUCUUUAUAGGAAAUUUCUUUGCUCACACGGUCUCUUUUAUAAGAAACUAGACUAAUUAAGCUUUGAUUACAUAUUUUAUUCAGCCUAUAAUUCCACACCAUCAAUUUAUGGUGAUUUUCUAAAAUCACGUUACUGCUGCUGUCCUAAGCAAAAUAUUACAAUUUGCUCUUAAAUUUCCAAGUCCAAACACUUAUGAACUCACCAUUUGAGUUUAAAACAUAUCAUGGCCACAUCAUAUCUUAUUAAAUCAACUCAUUAUGUCCUAUUAUGAUUGAAUUUACUCAACGUUUAAUCACUUAAAACUUACCUCGGAAGUGGUCGACGACUAGAUAUCCACGGCAUUCGUUUACUUUCUCUUUUCCCCUAUCCGACUUUGAUCCUCUUUGCUCUUAAGCUUAAGUAAAACAAUAGAUUUGCUUAAGUACUUAACUAAUAUUAUUCACUUAACAAUCGCAUUUCGCAAUCACAUAUCAUUUAAUCUAUAUCUAAAACAAUAGAUUUCAAUAUGUAUCAUAUUUAAUAAUUCAUGCCAUGACUCGAUCUCAUGCUUAUUUAAUUUAUAUCUAAUUCACAUUCACAAGCAAAGAGCCACUUAAUUUAUCAUGCUUCCUUAUACAUGAAUUUAAUCAUAUUGCCGAAUACAUAUAUAUAUCAUCAAACAGAUAUUUAUUCACAUAACAACAAUUCAUUCACAUCUCUAUAAAUGGUCAUAAUCGGACAUUAUAAACAAAUCAACUAGUUUAGAAUUCAAAUUCUUCUAACCAUUCCUCAAUCAUUUACUCAAUGAACAACAAUCCAAGCACAUCAAAGCAUAGUCGAAUGUAUCAUUCUUCUUAAAUUCAAAAAUAAAUGCAUGGGCUAACUUCAAAAUCUAUUUAACAACUCAACUUUAUAAACACAUAUUCGGCUAGGAAGAAAGAUUGAUAAUUUAACAACCUUAGCUUAACAUAUAAUUUGUUGUAACACAUCUUUAAGCAUUCUUUUAUUCCAUCAACUCAAAACACAUUCAUCACUCACAAUAACUAUGUUCAUAUUCGGCAAUGGCCUCCAAUAUAGUGACCCAUUCUUCUCAACUAGCACCUAGUGUACACACAUGAUCAUUUGUUUGAUUCAAACACCUAUCCACCAAAAAUUCAUCCAAAUUAACAAGAACAACAACCACAUUCCUUGUUAUCUACCAUGACCGAAACCCAUAUUCAUUCACCAAAUAUCAAAAAUUUAACAUGGGUCCAAUAAGGAACUUAGAAAUUUACUAGGAUUUAACUAAUAUUUCAAAAAUUAACCAAAACUUCUUACCUUAAUAUUGACCUUAGAUGACCGAAUGCUUCACUCCCUUCUCCGUCUUUUCAUUUCGUCCAAGAAGAACCGAUUUCUUCUCUUGUUUUCAUCACACUUUCAUUCUUUUCUUUCUUUUAUUAUCCUUAGUAUUUCUUUUAUUUAUUUCCUUUCUUUUACAUAAAAUAAUGACCAUUUCAUGAAGAUUCACUACAUAUUCUAAUAUAUGCACCAUCAUGGCCGGCCACUAUGUAUAAAAAAAGGAGUAUUUGACAUGCAAAACCAUUGUUUUCACUACAUGCUUUAAUAGGUCCUUAUAGAUUAACCUAUCACAUUUCACAAGUGUCACACAUAAGUCCUAUUAACUAAAUUCACAAGCAAUUAACUAAAUCGAAGCUUAAAACUUUCACACAUUCAUAUUCACAUAUUUUAGACAAUAAUAAUCAUAUUCAAAUAAUUUGGUGACUCGGUUUAGCAGUCCCGAAACCGCUUUCCGACUAGGGUCACUUUAGGGCUGUCACAAGAACAUAUUUUGAAUUAUGUACAAUGAGAAAUUUGAUUCGUAAUGAAGAGUGGUCAGAUUAGUCAAACAGUGAAACAUGGGAAACUUUAAGAAAAAUCUGGUAUUGAUUGGCCAUACCAAAAAUUCUGAAAAUUUUAUGGAUAGAAGAUAUAUGAGCCUAUUUUCAGGGAAAAUUAACGGCACUUGAUUUGGAGUUUCGUAGCUCCAGUUAUAAAUAAUUUAGUGACUGUUGCUUAGAAAGACAGCUUGCAGUGAAAUUAUGAUUAUGUGGUAAACAUUGACAAAAAUUUAUUAAUGAGUUGCUUAUUGAUUUCCUAUAAGCUUACUAUGAUCUGUACGUGUGGUUGGACGAAUAUUGUAAGGGGUUAAUACGUAGUUUGUAUUUGAAUAGUUAGAUUAACGUGUUAGUAAUCCAAUUGUAGGCGGUUCGUGUGUGGAUCUCGUCAGCAUAUCGUCGCAAACAGGUGUGUAACUGACACCCUCUCAUGGACUAGAUUCGCAAAAGCCGAAAAGCCGAAAUGCCGAAAAGUCGGUAUUUGGGGAAUUUGCGAGUGUGCGAAUGCUCGUAAGAUAGUUGGGUUUGUAUAUUUGGUAAUCUAAAGUAAUAAACUGCAGUACGCGCGAUUUCAUCCAUUUUGAUAAUUUGGGCUUAAUGGGCCAAAGAUCGGGAUCAUAGGCCAACGGGCCCAAUUUGGUAAGUAUGCGCGGUAAGUGUUUUGAUAGUACGUAAAUAGUUAGGAUAUGCAUGAAAACCCUAAAAGUAGCUAAAUUACUAUAAUACCCCUAUGCAUGGAAUAUUACUGUUAUACCCCUAGGUGCAAAAUUACCGUUAUACCCCUAGGGUUAAUUUUGACUAAAAAGCAUGACGAUCUGAUUCUGUAUGAUGUAUGCCAUGAUUAUAUAUCUGUUGCAUGGGGACAUGGGUUAUAUUAUGGAGGAAGCGUCCUGGUGGCUGUGCCACGAUUAUCUGAUCUCGUGGCUCUGCCACAUAUAUCUGUUGUGGUGGCUCUGCCACAAUAUCUGUAUCUGGUGACUUUGUCACAAUAUUUGGCAGCCUCGCUGCGAUUUCUGUGGUGUUUAGCGGUUGGGUGGGUCGAGUAGUCUCCCCACAUGGUGUAAGGCUGGUAUGGGGGUGUUAUGGAUGAAUCUGGGUUAGGUUUCUGCAUAUACAUGUAAUAUCUGUUCUGUUUUGUUAUGAGCCUAUGGGCUUUAUUCUGAAUUCUGUUCUGGGCUAAGGCCAACUUAUUCUAUUUCUGUGGUUUGAGCUGAUAUAGGCUAUGGUUGGGUUAAUUUACACACUGAGUUUCCCCAAACUCACCCCUUUUAUUUUCAUCCACGCAGGUAAUCCCCAACCAUAGUGGGCUUGGAGCUGUGAGGGAAUUCAGAGUGGCCACCCGUUCUGAAAGUUUGAUUUUCUUCUGGUGAACUGGACAUCCUUUUAUUUACGUUUGAAGUUUUGGGUUUUUAAAUGUAAUAAGGCCGCUUAAUUAUUUUUGAUGGUUUUAAUAUGUAUUACUAAUAUAGGCAUUACUUAUUUUAACUGUUGAAAUUGGAUAGCUUUAGGGCGCGUUUUCGAAAACAACAAUUUAUUUCAAAAUAACACGAUAACAAGCAAAGCUUCUGCAAUGAAAGUAUUUUCCAAAAUUAAUCACUUUUCCUAAAAAAUGACUUAAUCAAAUCGGUUUCCUAGAAAUAUCCAUGACGUUAAUGUGUGGCAAUGGCGGUAUGCAUGUCUAGGAUUGGAUCCGAAGGGAGCUUGGUACUUAAGCAGUCCGAUAGACUCACCUCCUCUUUUUCGGUUUCCUACCUGGUGCACAGCUUCCAUUCACUUUAACCUAUAAUGAAAUUAUCUUUUAAAACACUAAGUAGGUUUUUCUGGAUCAACAAUAUAAAAUGUUUUGAACGCUUCGAUGUGGCAUGUCGGAUCCGGCCAUAAUGUCUGGGCCGGGUUUGGGGUGCUACAUUAACCUUUUGACACGUCAAAUAGUAGGACACAAAAGUGAUUACCUCCCGUUUCAUAUCGAGCCACCAAUAAAGUUCUUGAAGAUCCUGGUACAUCUUAUUCCCACCAGGAUACAUAGCAUAGGGGUUAUUAUGUGCCUCCUACAGAAUUGAGUGCUUUAAUUCUUUGUCAUUGGGUACACAAAUCUGACCUUUGAACCAUAAUACAUUAUUAGUAUUCAAGCUAAAAUCAAAAUUCUCGUUUGAGCCAACAUGUUGCAAUCGCUGUAUUAAGGAUUCGUUAUUUUGUCGUUUAGCUCAAAUUUGCUCUAUCCAAAUCGGUUUCACCUGGAGUUCAGCUAACAACCCUCCAUCCUCAACCAAACUUAAACGAGCUAACAUUGCUCUCAGAUCCACCAUUACUUUAUGGCAAAAGGCAUCAACUACCACAUUAGGGUUACUUGAUUAUAUUCUAUUAUGCAAUCAUAUUUUUUUAGUAACUCGAUCCAUCGGCGCUAAAAAAGGUUCAACACUUUUUGGGUUAACAAAUAUUUGAGGCUCUUGUGAUCAGUGUAAAUAAUACACCUUUCACAAUACAGAUAGUGUCUCCAGAUUUUCAAAGCAAAUAUGGCCUCAGCUAGCUCAAGAUCAUGGGUGGGGUAAUUACCCUCAUCUGUCUUCAUCUUCUGUAAUACGUAAGCGACCACCUUACCAACUUGCAUAAGCACACAUCCUAACCCAACAUGUAAAGCAUCACUGUAAACCACAAACUCCCGUCCCGAUUCUGGUUGAACCAAAACAGGAGCUUGUGUCAGAACGAACUUGAGUUUAUCGAAACUAGACUGCUAUGCCUCAGACCACACGAAUGGAGCAUUCUCACGUAACAGCUUUGUCAAAGGUGAUACAAUCAGAUAAAACCCUUUGACGAACCUUCAGUAGUACCUAGAUAAACCAAAGAAGCUACGAAGUUCGAACAUGUUUUUUGGUUGUUUCCACUCAACAAUAGCUUUAAUUUUAUUGGGAUCAACUCGCAUCCCUUCCGCCGUAACCACAUGACCCAAAAAGGCAACCUCCUACAACCAAAGCUCACAUUUGCUGAACUUAACAUACAACUAUUUUCCUCGAAGAUUCUGAAGUACAAUACGAAGAUGACCAUCUUGCUCAGUUUCAAUUUUAGAGUAGAUCAAAAUAUAAUCGAUAAAAACCACACAAAUUGAUCCAAAUAUGGUUGAAACACCCGAUUCAUUAAGUCUAUAAAAGCUGUUGGGACAUUCUUAAUCCGAAAGGUAUUAUCGAAAACUCAUAAUGUCCAUAACGAGUUCUGGAAGUAGUUUUGUACACAUCAGUCUCUUUGACCUUGAGCGGAUGGUAACCAGAGUGUAGGUCAAUUUUAGAAAAGACAGACGCUCCCUGAAACUGGUCGAACAAGUCAUCAAUCCUUGGUAACAGAUACUUAUUCUUGAUCGUCAACUUGUUCAAUUGCCUAUAGUCAAUACACAUCUUUAUCGACCCAUCCUUCUUCUUAACGAACAAUACCGGUGCCCCCCAUGAAGACACAUUCGGUUGAAUAAAUCCUCUAUCAAGGAGUUCCUGAAGCUGUGCUUUUAAUUCAGUCAGUUCUUUUGGUGCCAUACGAUAGGGAGCAAUGGACACUGAAGUAGUACUUGGUAAUAGAUCAAUUCCAAACUCCACAUUUCUAUCCAGAGGUACUCCAGGCAAUUCCUCGAGAAAGACAUUUGGGAAUUCUCUUACGGUACGGAUAUCUCCCAGUAAUAACUUUUUGGAAGCAGAAUUGGAUACAUAAGCUAGGUAUGCCUCACACCCCUUUCAGACUAAUUUGUUUCCUACUAGAGCCGAGAUUACAUUAGUGAAGUAAUCUCGACGCUCUACAACCAUUACCACCUCUUUAUUCUCAGUCGGUCUCAGAGUAACUCUUUUGGUUGCACAGUCUAAACUGACCCGAUAUUCAACGAGCCGAUCUAUUCCAAGAAUUAAAUCAACCUCGUUAAAGGGCAAUUCCAUUAAAUCAGCUGGAAAUAUCAUACCCUAAAGCUCUAGGGGUACUAGUCUGUAUACCCUACCGACUCGAAUUAACUGACCCAAUGGACUAAUUACAGAAAACUCUCUAGCAGUAUUCUCAGCAGUUAAAAACCCAGAGUUAUAGAAACAGCACUAGCUAUGUACGAAUGAGUAAAGCCAAUAUCAAUGAGAGUAUAAUACGAUACAAAGUGGAAAAAAAAGGUACGUGCAAUGACAUCAGCAUUAUCGCUCUUCUCGCGACAUCUAGAUGCAUAAACUAGUGUCGGCUGGCGAGUCUCAGCCUAACCAACACCUCAACCCGGUGUUCACCAUCUUCUCUCAGCUUCGUUACCACCACUACCAGUACCACAACUUCUGAAAGGUUGCUGAGUCUCUCUCAGAGGUCGAACAGAGUUUCGGGUCGAAGUUUGUACCACACUUGGCACUGAAUCAGGUCGACGGGGACAAUCCCUAACUCGAUGCUUCAUCGAACAACAACAGAGGCACGCUCUUAAUUUCCUCCAACAUUUGCCCCGAUGGUGCUUCCUACAAUCAGUACACUACUAAAUUUCAGUCACUACAACUAGUGUCUCGACUCUCGGGGGCAUGUCAAAACUCACUCGCUUCUUAGGGUGUUGAGCAAAACUAGAGGGACCCGAAUCUCUCUUAACUUUAUUCUAAUCCUUCUCACGGUCCCGUAGUUCAUGCUCAAUGCACUUUACUUCUUUCACUAUUUUUGCUUUAUCAACCAAAAUCAUGAAUACCCGCUCCUUCUGAGGAGCUAUCAAAACCCGCAGUUCAGAUCUUAAGCCUUCUUCGAACCUCACACACUUGUCGUAGUCAGAAGCUACCAAAGUCCGUGCAUAUUUUCCCAAUCGCAGAAACUCGACUUCAUACUUAGCCACAGAUCGGUCACCCUAAACUAGGCUCAUAAGCUCGCGUCGGUAAGCCUCAUCAUAGCUUGCCCCCACAUACUUACCCUUGAAGGCAUUCUUGAAAUAGUCUCAGUUCACUUGCUCAGGUUGACCACCGUGUUCAACAGUUAGCCACCACUGAUAAGCUUUGUCUUGGAGUAGAGACACUGCGCCCCUCAUUUUUUGAGUAGGAGUGCAAUUAAGAUCAAUCAUAAUAUGUUCGGUAGCAUUGAGCCAAUACUCAACAAUAGUAGAGUGAUACGGCCGAGCCCCGAGACUCAUCAAGGACUGAUAAAGAACCUUUACGGCUGCCCUUUGGACCGAUAACUUAACCUCAUCCAAAAGAUUCAAAGAGACUGUUUCGGCUUUAACUGAUCGACUAUGAAGAAAGAAUGUUGCUGGGCUCAUUGAAUGAACGUAGACAAGUCACCCGAGCAAGCCUUGCAACCUUCUACAAGCCCAUCUUGUUCAUUCGUAGCCCAUUGAGCUCAACUCCAGCUCGUUUUUAACUUAGCAAUAUUUUGUUGCUAGAAAUAAGGAUUUCAAUCCAUUUUAGUUAUUUUAGUUUGAUUCUUUAAUUAUGUCAUAGUUUGAACAUCAUUAUAAUGAGUCUUUAAUUAUGUUAUAGUUUGAACAUCAUUAAUAUGUGUUCUGCAUUUAAUAAAGUCAUGCAUUAUGUAACUUUCAUGUUAGUUAAGUUUGCAUCAUUAAAUUAAGUCAUGCAUUAAGUAACUCAUUUUUUCAUUUAGUUUACAUCUUAAUUAAAUUAUGCAUUUAAACAUCUUAUUUGUUUGUAUUAGAGUGUUAUUUAAUUUGGCUGUUACUUUUGCAUAAGUUAUAGUGUGUUUAAUAUUUCUUAAAUAAAAUUAAUUGUGUGUUCAAUUUUUGUUGUAGGAAAGUUAAAAAGGCUGGAUACAUAUUUUAAAGCUACAAUAGGGCUGAUCAUUUGCCAAGAAGAAUCAAAUGCUGUCACAUUCAAAUGGCUGUUCAAUUUUGGCAUAAAAAAGUGUGCAUUUGGCCACUUAAUUGCUGGUGCAUAAAAGGAACAUUUUUUUUGGAUAUUGAAGCACUUAAAGCUUAUUAUGGUGGCUUUUCAAAUGGACCAAGAGUGUCUCUUCAAGUCUGAUCAGUUUUUGGAGUCUUUUUCCUUCAUUAUGACGCCAUUAAAAGAGGAAGUUACAUAAGCUUUAUGAUAUGGUUACAAGGGAGUUGAAGGGACAUCAACUAAGUACAAUAAGAACACAUUAAGUCUUCAUUAAUAGAUAGAGUCAUGCCUUUUCAUCUACACCAGGAUCAAAUGAAGAGACAUGACCAUUAGAUUUCCUACAUAAGUUAAAAAUGAAAUUAACGCUUGUAAUAACCUUAGUUAAUUGUUGAAGGUGAAAUGUCACAAAUAGGCAUUCGAAUAGUCAUAAUAGUGCCUAUAAAAUAGAUUGUAAAAAGACAUUAUUUUAGUUAAGAAAAAUUUUGAUACUUUUAUGGAUUUUUACAUUUUUGUGAGUUUAAUUCAACUCUCAUUGUUUUCUAAGACUCAUGCUAACUUAUCUAGCAUUGAUAGUGGCGUCCAACUUGUUUUCUUUGUGAACUUAUCACUCUUUGAGUGUGGCGUUCAACCCCAAUACCUUUGAUUCCUAUCUCCUUAUAGAUAGUGGGUCAAAGUCCUUUUUAACCAUCAACCUUUCCACCUUAAAAGUCAAUAUCAGAUUCGGGUCAAAACUCCUUAUAGUAUUGGUUCUUUCUUGGACCUUAACCUUUUUCCAUCCAUUCGAAUUAUUCCUUUCAAAGUUAUUUUAUUUUUCUUUAUUUAACUGAAACAUUCACUUAGACUAUUCCAAAAUACUUAAAAACUAUCUUUGCUUUAGCCUACACUUAGCCAAAUUCACUCAACUCCAAAUUGAACAAAACUUCUCUAUUUUACGAUCAGGCAAUACUACGACUCGAAAUCAAAUCACGAGAUAUGUUCAUAUCAAGGAGCGACUCCUAUGACACCCCUAAAUAGUUCAGCACCAUUUGACCAAAGUUGUUCAGUAAUCGACCCCAGGCCUCCCGAUCGUGAAUGGGUCCCAAUAACCAUCUCAAGAGCCCAACUUAUGGCCUGGGACAGUGUGUCGUCCCCAGCCGUAGGAGUCUAAGACUCCGCCUCUGCAGUGGGAGUACUAACUGUAUCACUGAUCUCCAGAUUAGACAUGCUACCCAUAGAAGAUGACUCAGCUUGAGCUCCUCUUUGGCGUCCUCGAUGCCCCCGCAAACCCCAUCCACGACUACCAUGUAAACUCAUAUUGCAUUCUAGCUAUAAUUUCAGAAUACACAGAUCAGUUCACAAAUCCUACAUAACGGUUCCAUCAGUUUACACCAAGCAAUCUACCAAUAACUGUUAGGUAUCAUAAUCUUUACAAAAGAACAUAAAUACUUACUGGGUCAGCGUUGGAGGCUCGGUCAUUCCCUAAUGUUUCAGUGUUUCUAUAUUAGUUCGGCUAAAAAUUAUUACUAGGCAUAAUUCUCACACAUUAAGAGCCUAAACACAGUUCGAGUGUUAGCAAACCUACCUUUGAUACCACUAAAUAUAACACCCUAAACCUGACCUAGACGCCCAAACCAAGUUGGAGAGUCACAUCAACCAUUCUAAAAGCCAUACUACCAUAACGCAAUCAAAUUAAACAAGGCGUCACAUAUAUUCAUCCAAUUGUAAUUUAAAGACAUAAUCUUCAUAAAUCCAUAACAUCAUAAAACAAAUAUCCUUAAUAAUAAUGCUAGCAGAAUAUCAAUAAGUGUCUAACCGAGCUUCCGCGACACCGAUCCGAUCAAGACUGAUUACCACCUGUAACCCAAACAAUAACAGGGUGAGUUAUAAGCUCAGUGCGUAAAAAGAAAUGUAAUUUACCAACGGUGACUUAUGGAGAAUAUCCAGUUCAGAGAUUCAGUUCAUCCUAGAAGCAUAUUUGAUCUAGGCUCAGAGCAAAGGCAUUAAAUAUGUAUACAUGUAUUAUUAUAGUUCAAAUAUAGUUCAGAUCAGAUUCAGAUGCAAUAUUCCUAUUUUCAUCCUUUGCACACCAACUUUUCCCAUCCCAACACACCACUAUGGACAUUUAAUGCCCAUCCAUCCCUUCACAUCUUUAAAGUGUUCAAUGACACUUUCAUAGAAACGCAGCUUAGCUCCUAGUUCAAUGUACGACAAGCGCUAGAAUCAGAGAGAUACUUAUUGUGGCAUAACCAUGAUUUCAAUACAGACUCUCCUUCUUCCUCACAAUCUUCCACCACAUCUUAAUGCAGAAUACAAUAGUUCGUAACACAUGUGUAGCCAUUCUGAUAAAAUACAUAAUUAAUAAAACAGUUCAAUAACAGAGUGGUGUUACAAUGCAUAUUCAAGUAUGUGAUUCACAGAUCAGUCUCAUGUAAGCAAAUUCAGUCAUUCAUAAAUUAAGGAAACCAAUAUCAGAGUUUAGCACCCUUCUCGGCCUCAAAAAUAGUUCUCGAAUCCAAUAUCCUGCCACACGACCUGGGCACACGCUCGUGUACCUUGGUCGUGUGGUUUUUAAGUACAAAUAGUGAGUUACACAACCUGGGCACAUGUCUGUGUCAUUGGCUGUGUGGUUUUAUGCUGCAAACAGUGACUUACACGACCUGGGCACAAGGUGGUUUUUACACCCUAAAUAGUGAGUUACACUGUCUGUGCAUACACCCGUGUCCCUGGCUGUAUGAACCUUGCACUAAAUUGGCCUAAACAUACACCCGUGUAGUCGCCCGUGUGGUCUUAAUUCAAUAAACAAUGAUUUACACGACCAUUUACACGGCCUACCAUACGCCCGUGUGACGCACACGGCCUAGUCACACACCCGUGUGCCUGGACGUGAAGCAUUGACAGCCACCAUUUUCGGCGAUAAAAGUUACAAAAACUAAGGUUUCCAAUACACACUUGAGACGAUUUGAAAGUAGUGACAAUGAAGAGAAGUUCUGAAGCCUAAAACGAUCAUUCAAUAACUCAAUUAAUCAAGUUUAUCAACAACAAUGCACAAUUAUACUCAAAAUACCUAUGUCGAAAGUUUUCACACCAACUUUCAACGGAAUCAAUACUUACAAAAAAGAAUCAACGACGAUUACUCGAAUUGACUUGCUGAGGUUCGCUACUCUCAAUAUCCCCGCCUAACAGGGAAACCAAACGAUUGACUAUCAGAGAUUCACGCAACACACACAAACAACCAUCUCAAAGUAUACUAUGUAAAGCAAAAAGAGAAAACCUAAAAUUUAAAGAAUCGACAUCAAAACUUACUCAAUAACCUCCUAACAGAGAAUGCUAACAGCGUAACUUCAACUAGUCCAUAUUCCUUACGAUAAUUAAAGAGGAAAAGGGAAAAUCGAAAAAGAAGAAAAAGUAGAGAAGUAAGAAAAAGAAAACGAAAAAGGAAAAACAAGAAAAAUAAUAGGAAAGAAGAACUAACGUUAAUUGAUUAUAAAUUAACUUCCAUCCAGACUUCCAGCAUUUAGCAAAAAUAUUUUCCUUACGCAUACUACAGGAUUCAAACUCAAAACCAGAUAGAAUACAGACAGAUGUUUAACCAGUGAACCAACAGGCUCAUCCUCAUCACCCUUUUACAAAGAAUUGAACUUAAGCAGGUAGUGCGUGUUUGUGGGUUGAUUCUAAAAUAACAAAACUUUUAAUGAUGCGACUUGAACUUUAGACCUUAAAAUUUUGGGGCGUUACACAGUCCAUACUAGUUGCACCAACUCAAUCCGAUCAAUUCUAGUCACACCUGCCAGAACAUAGUGCACCGUCCUGUGCAUGAAUAAUAUUAAAAUUUUAAAGCUUUUAAUUAUUUACUAUUAUGCUAAAAACAUAAUUGAAACGUAACUAAAUAAAAAUGCUACAUUGGAAUGUAAUGUUUUUUUAAAAAAUGGAAUAUACUUUCACAUUCAAAAUAUAUUUAAGAAAAAAUCAUUCACCCGACUCAAAAAAAAAUCAUUCACCUUCCAGCUUCUUUUAUUAAGUAAAUGAGCUAAAUCCUUAAAAUUUCAUAUUAAAUGAUGAAUUUUUAUUAUUAAUUUUGAAUUUAUUUGAAUGAUAAAUUUUUAUUUGUUAAUUUUAUUAAUAAAUAUUUUAUAUUUGAAAUGUAUUUAGUUUCAUUCAUUUUUUAUUUGUAAUAUAUUUAUAUAUAUAUCUUAAAUAAGUUUAAAAAAUAUUGAUAAAUCUGAAAAGAUAUCUAUCAAUUUCGGUAAAAAAAAAAUCAACCAUCCACUAAUACAAAGAAAAGAAAUCUCAAUUUCUAAAAUUCCAAUUCCUUUAUAUUUAAAGUAGAAGAAAAAUAGCAAUAGGUAUUAACAAUGAAAUUAGAUUUCAAUAUUGCUGUCGCUAGGUAUAAUUUAUUCACAAUUUUUAUAAGAGGUUACAUGUAUUUAAUAUGACAUAAAAAACUAUUAAAUUAACUUUAAGUCAUUAUAAAUUUGUUAAUUAAAUAAUAUGUAAAAUUAAUAGAAAAUAAAAAUAAAACGAAAACGUUGACAAUAAGUUAAAAAUUAAUCCAAAUCAUUAUAGAUAUUUUAUUUAAAAAAUGAACUACAAUUAAAAUGGAAAAAAUAAAAAACAUGUGGCGCUAUUUUGUUUUGGGGGCAUGAAUGGAGCAUCGUUUCAGGGCAAGGGAUUUCUAUUCACUGCUCCAAUGCCUAUAUAAACCUCAAUACCAUGCUUUGUUUUCCUCACUCACAACUAUUCAGAUAAAGAAUUUCGUUUCAUCUGCUUCAUUUGUUUCGAAAUCUCUGAACAAAAAUGGCCUCUUUCAAUUUCAUUUGCAAGCAUUGAUGUUGGGGUAGUAGCUCGUCACCUUCUGCAGCAGCCUCAAACGCAAGGUUUGCCAUCUUUCCCUAAUCUCCCAACGCCAUCCCGACCAUCAUUCCCAUGGCCUGGCGCACUUCCUCCACUUCUUACCACAUUGCCAACAAGACUGCCCCCUCUACCAAGCAUUCCCUCAGUCCCCACAAUCCCAACUGCAAUUCCCCCUAUUCCUUUCUCUUUUCCACCAUUGCCAUCUUUCCCUAAUCUCCCAAACCCUGGGGCACUUCCUCCACUUCCUACCACAUUGCCAAGAGGACUGCCCCCUCUGCCAAGCAUUCCUUCAGUCCCCACAACCCCAACUACAGUUCCCUCUAUUCCUUUCUUUUCUCCACCACCUUCUCAAUCUACUCCUUGAAGUACCCCAUUUUUUUUAUCUGCUGCAACUGGAUCUGGUUUAAUAAGGUUUUUAGUCGUCUUUGUGUCUUUAUUAUGAGUAUUGAUUUUUCCCACUUAUAUUUGUUUGUAUAAAUAGGACUUCUCCAAUUCCCAUUAUUUGAUGUACUUUGAUACGUUGUUGCUUAUUAUAUAUGGGGUAUUUAUAUAUUGAUGUUUUUCCAUGAAGUAAUUAAUUACUGUUAUGAGUUUGGCUAAUUAAGAAAAGAAUCAAAAAAAUGCAGUCAAGAUAAUGAGCAGCCAUACAUCGAGAAGAUGCCUUUGUAGAUAUAAUAAUUCCUGCUUCAUUAUCUCUUUGAAGUUAUCCAUUUACAUAUACGAUUACUUUCCUCUUUUAAUAUAUUUCCAAGAUAAUAUUUUAUAUGAAUGUCUUUAAAUUCGGGUAGUCAGUUUUAUAUAGAUUUCGGUUAUACUAAUUUGUGUGCAUUGUUUUAAUUUUAUAUCAAAAUAUUAAUGUUUUUGAAAUUAAAUCGAUAAUCAAAUCAAUUAAUUCAUCAAUUUUUGAUUCAGUAGAUUCAACCAUCGAUAUAAUUAAUUUACUAUUCAACAAUAUAAAAUAAUAUUAAUUAUUAAAAACCCCAAACUCCUCUAUUUUUAAGGCUUUGAAUUUUAAAAUCCUCUCCCCAUCUUUGAUCUUUCCUAAUUUAUCUUCUUUUUUCCCUUUGAUUGAAUGUUAUAUGUCCAUCUUAGUUUUUCACCAGCAAAAAAAACUUAUUUCAGUAGAAAAAGUAAGAAAAGAAAUGGUGGUUAUUUUUUUAUGUUAGUGUUUUAUUUCAUUGAGUGCAGAAAUGAAGUGUAACAAUAGCUCAAGGGAUUUGAAGUGAAAUUUUUAUUUUUUCGAUUUAGAAAAUGUGAAAAUACGGCUUAAUCGACUAAUGAUUUGCAGUUUAACUGCAGUUUACUCUAGUUCUCGUGCUCAUUGGUUCUUAUUCUGUUUGGUUAGGUUCUAAUAACAUUGAGAAACACCUAACCCCAUUUUUCUACACUAGUGAAAAUUUUGGUCUAUAACACCCUAAACUCGACCUAGGCGUUCAAAUCAAGUUGGAGACUCACAUCAACCGUUCUAAAAGCCAUACCACUAUAACGCAAUCAAAUUAGACAAGUCGCCACAUAUUAUUCAUCACAAUAGUAAUUUAAAGACAUAAUCUUCAUAAAUCAAUAACAUCAUAAAACAAAUAUCCGUAAUAAUAAUGCUAGCAGAAUAUCAAUAAGUGUCUAACCAAGCUUCCGUGACACCGUUCCGAUCAAGACUGAUUACCAUCUGAAACCCAAACAAUAACAGGGUGAGUUUCAAGCUCAGUGCGUAAAAAGGAAUGUGAUUCAACAACGGUGACUUAUGGAGAAUAUCCAGUUCAGAGAUUCAGUUCAUCCUUGAAGCCUGUUUGAUCUAGGCUCAGAGCAGAGGUAUUACAUAUGUAUACAUGUAUUAUUCCAGUUCAAAUAUAGUUCAGAUCAGAUUCAGAUGCAAUGUUUCUAUUUCUAUCCUCUACACACCACUAUGGACAUUUAAUGCCCAUCUAUCUCUGUACAUCUUUAAAGUGUUCAAUGACACUUUCACAAAAAUGUAGCGUAGCUGCUAGUUCAAUGUGCGACAAGCGCUAGAAUCAAAGUGAUACUUAUUGUGGCAUAGCCAUGUUUUCAGUACAGACUCACCUUCUUCCUCACAAUCUCCCACCACAUGUUAAUGCGUAAUACAAUAAUCCGUAACACAUGUUUAACCAUUCUGAUAAAAUACAUAAUUAAUAAAAACCGUUCAAUAACAAAGUGGUGUUACAGUCCAUAUUCAAGAAUGUGAUUCACAGAUCAGUCUCAUGUAAGCAAAUUUAGUCAUUCGUAAAUCAAGGAAACCAAUAUUAGAGUUUAGCACCCUUCUCAGCCUCAAAAACAGUUCUCGGAUCCAACAUCCUGCCUCACGGCCUGGGCCCAUGCCCGUGCGCCUUAGCCGUGUGGUUUUUACACCUCAAACAGUGACUUACAUGGGGCAAAUGUCCAUGUCCCUGGCCAUGUGAACCCUGCACUAAAAUGGCCACACACGGCCUGAACACACGCCUUUGUGGUCGUCGGUGUCUUCUUAAUUCAAUAAACAGUGAGUUACACGGCUGUUCACACGGCCUCCACACACCCGUGGGACACACAAUGCCUAGUCAUACACCCGUGUACCUGUUGUGUGGCGUUGACAGCCAUCAUUUUCGAUGAGAAAACUAGCAAAAACUAAGGCUUCCAUUACGUACCUGAGACAAUUUCAAAGUAGUGACAAUAAAGAGAAUUUUUGAAACCUAAAACUACCAUUCAAUAACUCAAUCAAUCAAGUUUAUCAACAACAAUGCACAAUUAUACUCAAAAUACCUAUGUCAAAAGUUUUGACACCAACUUCCAAAAAAAUCAAUACUUACAAAAAAUUAACAACGAUUACUCGAAUUGACUUGCUGAGGUUCACUGUUUUCAAUAUCCCCGCCUAACAGGGAAACCAAACGAUUAACUAUCAGAGAUUCACGCAACAAACUCAAACAACCAUCUCAAAGUAUAAUAUGUAAAGAAAAAAGAGAAAACCUAAAAUUUAACGAAUCGACAUCAAAACUUACUCAAUAACCUCCCAAAAUAAAAUGCUAACAAUGUAACUUCAACCUAAAAUUUAACGAAUCAACAUCAAAACUUACUCAAUAACCUUCUAAAAUAGAAUGCUAACAAUGUAACUUCAACUAGUCCGUAUUCCUUACGACAAUUAAAGAGGAAAAGGGAAAAUUGAAAAAGAAGAAAAAGUAGAGAAGGAAGAAAAAAAAAAGGGAAAAAUGAAAAACAAUAGGAAAGAAAAACUAACGUUAAUUGAUUAUCAAUUAACUUCCAUUCAGACUUCCAACAUUUAGCAAAAAUAUUUUCCUUACGCAUACAAAGAAUUGAACUUAAGCGAACCAUCAGGCUCAUUCUUGUCACCAUUUUACAAAGAAUUGAACUUAAGUGGGUAGUGCUUGUUUGCGGGUUGGUUCUAAAACAACAAAACUUUUAAUAAUGCGACUCGAACUUCAGACCUUAAACUCAAUCACAGAUUACAAAACCAUAGAUACAAAAAUUAGUUACUGUAUAUUUUCAUAAACAAGUUCUUAAAAUUUUGGGGCAUUACAACUCUCUCCCCCUAAAGGAAAUUUUGGCUCGAAAUUUUUACCUAAGUCAAACAGAUACAGAUAUAGCCAUCGGAUAGAUUCCUCCGGCUCUCACGUGGCUUCCUUAGUACUGUGAUUCCGCUAGAGGACCUUCACUAGAGGAAUAGUUUUCUUUCUCAGUUUCUUAAUGUCACUUUCUAAGAUCUGAAUAGGCUCUACCUCGAAUGUCAAGUCUGGUCGUAAUUCGACCUCGUCAAUCGUAACGAUAUGUGACAAAUUCAAUCGGUACCGUCUCAACAUCGAGGCAUGAAACACAUUAUGAAUUCAAUCCAGCUCCGAUGGUAACUCUAACUUGUAAGCAAUAGGUCCAACUUACCUUAAGAUACAGUAAGGCCUUAUGAAUCUCGGGCUUAGCUUUCCGUUACGUCCAAAUUGGAGGAACUUUUUCCAAAUUGAUACCUUUAGAAACACUUGAUCACCUAACGAAAACUCAAUAUCCUUCUUUUUUAAAUCUUCAUAAGACUUUUGUCUAUUAGACAUGGCUUUCAAUCGAUCCUGAAUUACAUUCACAAUGCUCUCGAUUUCAGAAACCAGCUCAGAACCCAAUAGACGGCGUUCACUCAACUCCAUCCAACAUAACGGAAUAGGGUACUUACGACUAUAUAUAGCUUCGUAAGGUGCCAUCUGAAUACUAGACUGAAAGUUAUCAUUGUAAGCAAACUUCGUUAACGGUAGAUACUCCUUCCAACUACCUCUGAAGUCUAUCACAAAACCCCGAAGCAUAUCUUCUAGAAUCUGAAUGACUCGUUCUGACUGUCCAUCGGUCUGAGGGUGAUAUGUAGUACUAAACUUAAGUCGAGUGCCUAAAGCCUCAUGAAGUUUCUUUCAGAACCGAAAGGUAAAUCGCAGAUUUCUACAAUGAAUAAUCCAUUCGGAUAGCAAUGAAAUGAGCCGAUUUGGUCAACUGGUCAACUAUAACCCAAACUGAAUCCUUUUUAGCAGGAGUUAAGGCAACCCUGUAACAAAAUUCAUUGUUAUCCGCUCCCAUUUCCACUGCGAAAUCUUUACCAGUUGAAGCACUCCAGAGGGCAACUAAUGUUUGGCUUUAACCUUUUGACACGUAAAAUAGUAGGACACAAAAGUGACUACCUCCCGUUUUAUGGCAAGCCACCAAUAGAGUUCUCGGAGAUCCUGGUACAUAUUAUUUCCACCAGGAUGCAUAGCAUAUAGGCUAUUGUGUGCCUCCUGUAAAAUCGAGUGCCUUAAUUCUUUGUCAUUAGGUACACAUAUCCGACAUUUGAAGCAUAACACAUUAUCGGUAUUCAAGCUAAAAUCAAAAUUCUCGUCUGAGCCAACAUGUUGCAAUCGCUGUAUUAAGGAUUCGUCGUUUUGUUGUUUAGCUCAACUUUACUCUAUCCAAACCGGUUUCACCUGGAGUUCAGCUAACAACCCUCCAUCCUCAACCAAACUCAAACGAGCUAACAUUGCUCUCAGAUCUGCCACUGCUCUAUGGCUAAGGGCAUCAGCUACCACAUUAGCCUUACUUGGAUGAUAUUCUAUGGUGCAAUCAUAAUCUUUUAGUAACUCGAUCCAUCGGUGCUGACGAAGGUUCAACUCUUUUUGGGUUAACAAAUAUUUGAGGCUAUUAUAAUUAAUGUAAAUAAUACACAUUUCACCAUACAGAUAGUGCCUCCAAAUUUUCCAAGAAAAUACAACCUCAGCUAACUCAAGAUCGUAGGUGGGGUAAUUACCCUCAUGUGUCUUCAUCUUCUACGAUGCGUAACCAACUACAUUACCAUCUUCACUAAGCACACAUCCUAACCCAACAUGUGAAGCAUCAUUGUAAACCAAAAUUGAACCAAAACAGGAGCUUGUGUCAGAACGGACUUGAGUUUAUCGAAACUAGACUACUGUGCCUCAGACCACAUGAAUGGAGUAUUCUUAUGUAAUAGCUUCAUCAAAGGUGAUGCAAUCAGAGAAAACCCUUCGACGAACCUUCGGUAGUACCCAAAGAAACCAAAGAAGCUACAAAGUUCGGACGCGUUUUUUGGCUGUUUCCACUAAAAAACAGCUUUAAUUUUCUUGGGAUCAACUUGCAUCCCUUCCACCGUCACCACAUGACCCAAAAAGGUGACCUCCUGCAACAAAAACUCACACUUGUUGAACUUAGCAUACAACUGUUUUCCUCGCAGUAUCUGAAGUACAAUACGAAGAUGACCAUCGUGCUCAAUUUUAAUUUUAGAGUGGAUCAAAAUAUUAUCAAUAAAAACCACUACAAAUUUAUCCAAAUACGGUUGAAACACCCGAUUCAUUAAUUCUAUAAAUGCCACCGAGACAUUUGUUAAUCUGAAAGGCAUUACCAAAAACUCGUAAUGUCCAUAACAAGUUCUGAAAGUAGUUUUGUACACAUCAGUCUUUUUGACCUUGAGCUUAUGGUAACCUGAACGUAGGUCAAUUUUUGAAGAGACGUACGCUCCCCGAAACUGGUCGAACAAGUCAUUAAUCCUUGGUAACGAAUACUUAUUCCUGAUCGUCAACUUGUUCAACUGCCUAUAGUCAAUACACAUCCUCAUCGGCCCAUCCUUCCUCUUAAAAGACAAUAUCGGUGCCCCCCACGAAGACACACUCGGUCGAAUAAAUCCUCUAUUAAGGAGUUUCUGAAGCUGUGCUUUUAAUUUAGUCAGUUCUUUCAACACCAUAUGAUAAAGCGCAAUGGACACUGAAGCAAUACAUGGUAACGGAUCAAUUCUAAACUCCAUAUUUCUAUCCAGAGGUACUCCAGGCAAUUCCUCGGGAAAGACAUUUGGGAAUUCUCUUACGGUACAGAUAUCUCCUAUUGACAACUUUUUGGAAGCAGAAUCGGAUACAUAAGCUAGGUAUGCCUUACACCCCUUUCGGACCAAUUUGUUUCCUGGUGAAGUAAUCUCGACGCUCUCCAACCAUUACCACCUUGUCAUUCUCAAUCAGUUUCAGAGUAACUCUUUUGGUUGUACAGUCUAAACUGACCCAAUAUUCAACGAGUCAAUCCAUUCCCAGAAUUAAAUCAACCUCGUUAAAGGGCAAUCCCAUUAAAUCAGCUGGAAAUAUCAUACCCUGAAGCUCUAAGGGUACUCUUCUAUAUACUCUAUCGACUCGAAUUAACUGACCUAACGAACUAACCAUAGAAAACUCUCUAGCAAUAUUCUCAGCAGUUAAACCCAGAGUUACAGAAACAACACUAGCUAUGUACGAAUGAGUAGAGACAAUUUCAAUAAGAGUAUAAUACGGUACAAAGUGGAUAAAGAAGGUACCUGCAAUGACAUUAGCAUUAUUGCUUUCCUCGCGACGUCUAGUCAUAUAAACCAGUACCGGUUGACGAGCCUCAACCUAACCAGCACAUUUACCCGGUGUUCACUGUCCUCUCCUAACUUAGUUACCACCAUCCCUAUCAGUACCACGACCUCUAAAAGGUUGCUGAGUCUCUCUCGGAGGUCUAACAGAGUUUAGGGCCGAAGUCUGUAUGACACCUAGCUCUGAAUUAGGUCAACAGGAUCGAACCACAAUAGAGGCACGCUCUUAAUUUCCUCUAGCAUUUGCCCUGGUGGCGCUUCCUACAAUCAGUACACUGCUGAAUCUCUGUCACUACAACUGGUGUCCCGACCCUUGGAGACAUGUCAAACCUCACCCGCUUCUUAGGGCGUUGAGCAGAACUAGAGGGACUCGAAUCCCUCUUAAGUUUAUUCUGAUCCUUCUUACAAUCGCGCCGUUCACACUCAAUGCACUUCACUUCUUUUACUAUUUUCACUUUAUCAACCAAAAUCACGAAUACCCGCUCCUUCAGAGGAGCUAUCUAAACCCACAGAUCAUAUCUCAAGCCUUCUUCGAGCCUCACACACUUGUUGUAGUCAAACGCUACCAAAGUCCAUGCAUAUUUUUUCAAGAGUAGAAACUCGGCUUCAUACUCAGCCACAGAUCGGUCACCCUGAACUAGACUCAAAAACUCGCAUCGGUGAGCCUCAACAUAGCUUACCCCCACAUACUUACCCUUGAAGGCAUUCUUGAAAUAGUCUCAGUUUACUUGCUCAUGCUGAGCACCGUGCUCAACAGUUAGCCAUCACUGAUAAGCUUUGUCUUGGAGUAGAGACACUGCGCCCCUCAAUUUUUGAGUAGGAGUGUAGUCAAAAUCUAUCAUAACACGUUCGGUAGCCUUGAGUCAAUACUCAGCAAUAGUAGAGUGAUAUGACUGAGCCCCGAGACUCAUCAAGGGAUGACAAGGAACCUUUGAGGCUGCCCUUUGGACUGAUAACUCAAGCUCGAGCCAAAAGAUUCAAAGAGGCUGUUCCAGCUUUAGCUGAUCGAGUAUGGAGAGCAAAUGUUGUUGGGCUCAUUGAAUGAACAUGGACAAGUCACCCGAGCAAGCCUUGCAACCUUCUACAAGCCCAUCUUGUUCAUUCAUAGCCCAUUGAGCUCAACCCCAACUUGUUUUUAACUUAGCAAUAUUUUGUUGCUAGAAAUAAGGAUUUCAAUCCAUUUUAGUUAUUCUAGUUUUUUCUUUAAUUAUGUCACAGUUUGAACAUCAUUAAUAUGUGUUCUGCAUUUAAUAAAGUCAUGCAUUAUGUAACUUUCAUGUUAGUUAAGUUUGCAUCAUUAAAUUAAGUCAUGCAUUAAGUAACUCAUUUGUUCAUUUAGUUUACAUCUUAAUUAAAUUAUGCAUUUAAACAUCUUAUUUGUUUGUAUUAGAGUGUUAUUUAAUUUGGCUGUUACUUUUUCAUAAGUUAUAGUGUGUUUAAUUGUUCUUAAAUAAAAUUAAUUGUGUGUUCAAUUUUUGUUGUAGGAAAGUUCAAAAGGCUGGACACAUAUUUUAAAGCUACAAUAGGGUUGUUCAUUUGCCAAGAAGAAUCAAAUGCUGUCACAUUCAAAUGGUUGUUCAAUUUUGGCAUAAAAGAGUGUACAUUUGGUCACUUAAUUAUUGGUACAAAAAGGGAACGUUUUUGCUCGAUAUUGAAGCACUAAAAGCUCAUUAUGGUGGCUUUUCAAAUAGACCAAGAGUGUCUCCACAAGUCUGAUCAGUUUUUGGAGUCUUUUUCCUUCAUUAUGAUGCCAUUAAAAGAGGAAGUUACACAAGCUUUAUGAUUCGGUUACAAGGGAGUUGAAGGGACAUCAACUAAGUAUAAUAAUGACACAUUAAGUCUUUAUUAAUGGACAGAGUCAUGCAUUUUCAUCUACACCAGGAUCAAAUGAAGAGACAUGACCAUUGGAUUUCUUACAUGAGUUAAAAAUGAAAUUAGGGUUUGUAAUAACCUUAGUUAAUUGCUGAAGGUGAAAGGUCACAAAUAGGCAUUCGAAUAGCCAUAAUAGUGCCUAUAAAUAGAUUGUAAAAAAACAUUAUUUUGGUUAAGAAAACUUUUUAUACUUUUAUGAAUUUUACAUCUUUGUGAGUAUAAUUCAACUCUCAUUGUUUUUCUAAGACUCAAGCUGACUUAUCUAGCAUUGCUAGUGGCAUCCAACUUACUUUCUUUGUGAACUUAUCACUCUUUGAGUGUAGCGUUCAACCUAGAUACCUUUGGUUCCUAUCUCCUUAUAGAUAAUGAGUCAACGUCCUUUUAAACCAUCAAUCUUUCGACCUUAAAAGUCAAUAUAAGAUUCAGGUCAAUACUCCUUAUAGUAUUGGUUCUUUCUUGGACCUUAACCUUUUUCCAUCCAUCCGAAUUAUUCUUUUCAAAGUUAUCUUAUUUUUCUUUGUUUAACUGAAACAUUCACUUUGACUAUUCCAAAACACUUAAAAACCAUCUUUUCUUUAGCCUACACUUAGUCGAGUUCACUCAACUCCAAAUUGAACAAAACUUCUCUAUUUUAUGAUCGGGCAAAAUUACGACUCGAAAUCAACUCACGAGAUAAGAUUGUAUCAAGGAGCUAUUCCUAUGAUGCCCCUAAAUAGUUCAGCACCAUUCGACCAAAGUUGUUUAGUAAUCGACCCUUGGCCUCCCAAUCUUUGAUGGAUCCCAGCGACCCUCUCAAGAGCCCAAAUCAUGGCCUGGGACAGUGCGUUGUCCCUAGCCGUAGGAGUCUAAGACUCCGCCUCUGCAGUGGGAGUACCAACUGUAUCGUUGGUCUUCAGAUUAGGCAUGCUACCCAUAGAGGAUGACUCGGCUUGAGCUCCUUCUCGGCGUCCUCAACAACCUCACAUACCCGGUCCACGACUACUACGCGAACUCAUAUUGCAAUCUAGCUACAAUUUCAGAAUACACAGAUCAGUUCACAUAUCCAGCAAAACGGUUUCACUAGUUUACACCAAGCAAUCUACCAAUAACAGUUAGGUAUCAUAAUCUUUACAACAGAACAGAAAUACUUACUAGGUCAGCAUCGGAGGCUCGAUCGUUCCCUAAUGUUUCAAUGUUUCUAUAUUAAUUUGGUUACUAAUUAUUACUAGCCAUAAUUCUCACACAUUAAGAGCCUAAACACAGUCCGAGUGUUGACAAACCUGGCUUUGAUACCACUAAAUAUAACACCCUAAACUCGGCCUAGACGUCUAGACCAAGCUGAAAAGUUACAUCAACCGUUCUAAAAACCAUACCACUAUAACGUAAUCAAAUUAAACCAGUCGUCACAUAUUAUUCAUCACAAUAGUAAUUUAAGACAUAAUCUCUAUAAAUCCAUAACAACAUAAAACAAAUAUCCCUAAUAAUAAUGCUAGUAGAAUACCAAUAAAUGUUUGAGCAACCUUCUGCGACACCGACCUGAGCAAGACUGAUAACUACCUGAAACCUAAACAAUAUUAGGGUGAGUUAUGAACUCAGUUCGUAAAAACGAAUGUAAUUCAACAACGGUGACUUAUGGAGAAUUUCCAGUUCAGAGAUUCAAUUCAUCCUAGAAGCAUGUUUGAUCUAGGUUCAGAAUAGAGGUAUUACAUAUGUAUACAUGUAUUAUUCCAAUUCAGAAAUAGUUCAGAUCAGAUUCGAAUGCACUGUUCCUAUUUCCAUCCUCUACACACCAACUUUUUCCAUCCCAACAUACCACUAAUGACAUUUAAUGCCCGUCCAUCCCUUCACACCUUUAAAGUGUUCAAUGACACUUUCACAGAAACGUAGCUUAGCUCCUAGUUCAAUGUGCGACAAGCACUAGAAUCAGAGUGAUACUUAUUGUGGCAUAGCUACGAUUUCAGUAUAGACUCCCCUUCUUUCACACAAUCUUCCACGAUAUGUUAAUGCAGAAUACAAUAGUCCGUAACACAUGUUUAGCCAUUCUGAUAAAAUACAUAAUUAAUAAAAUAGUUCAAUAACAGAGUGGUGUUACAGUGCAUAUUCAAGAAUCUGAGCCACAGAUCAGUCUCAUGUAAGCAAAUUCAGUCAUUCAUAAAUUGAGGAAACCAAUGUCAGAGUUUAGCACCCUUCCCGCCCUCAAAAACAGUUCUCAGAUCCAACAUCCUGCCACACGACUUGGGCUCGCCCUCGUGUGCCUUGGUCAUGUGGUUUUUAAGCACAAAUAGUGUGUUACACGACCUGGGCAUAUGUCUGUGUCCUUGGCUGUAUGGUUUUAUACUACAAACAGUGACUUACACGGCCCAGGCACACGAGUGGUUUUUACACCCUGAAUAGUGAGUUACACAGCCUGGGCAUAUGCCCGUGUCUCUGGCCGUAUGAACCCUGCACUAAAAUGGCUAUGCAUGGCCUAAACACACGCCCGUGUGGUUGCCCGUGUGGUCUUAAUUCUAUAAACAAUUAAUUACAUGGUCGUUCACACGGCAUACUAUACGCUCGUGUGACGCACACAGCCAAGUCACACACCCGUGUACCUGACCAUAAGGCGUUGAUAGCCACAAUUUUCAGUGAAAAAACUUGCAAAAACUAAGGUUUUCGAUACACACUUGGGACGAUUUGAAGGUAGUGACAAUGAAGAGAAGUUUCGAAACUUAAAACGACCAUUCAAUAACUCAAUUAAUCAAUUUUAUCAACAACAAUGCACAAUUAUACUCAAAAUACCUAUGUCGAAAGUUUUCACACCAACUUUCAACGAAAUCAAUACUUAUAAAAAAAUCAACGACGAUUACUCGAAUUGACUUGCUGAGGUUAGCUACUCUCAAUAUUCCCCCCUAACAGGGAAACCAAACAAUUGACUAUCAGAGAUUCACGCAACACACACAAACAGCCAUCUCAAAGUAUACUAUGUAAAGCAAAAAGAGAAAACCUGAAAUUAACGAAUUGACAUCAAAACUUACUCAAUAACCUCCCAACAGAAAAUGCUAACAGCGUAACUUCAACUAGUCCAUAUUCCUUACGACAAUUAAAUAGGAAAAGGGAAAAUUGAAAAAGAAGAAAAAGUAGAGAAUGAAGAAAAAGAAAAAGGAAAAACAGGAAAAAUAAUGGGAAAGAAGAACUAACGUUAAUUGAUUAUCAAUUAACUUCCAUCCAGACUUCCAGCAUUUAGCAAAAAUAUUUUCCUUACGCAUACUAUGGGAUUCAAACUCGGAACCAGAUAGAAUACAGACAAUGUUUAACCAGUGAACUAACAGGCUCAUCCUCGUCACCCUUUUACAAAGAAUUAAACUUAAGCGGGUAGUGCAUGCUUGUGGGUUGAUUCUAAAAUAACAAAACUUUUAAUGAUGCGACUUGAACUUUAGACCUUAGAAUUUUGAGGCGUCAAACGGUCUGUACCAGUUGCACCAACUCAUUCUGAUCAAUUCCAGUUACACCUGCUGGAACAUAGUGCACCGUCCUGUGCAUGAAUAAUAUUAAAAAUUUAAAACUUUUAAUUAUUUACUAUUAUGCUAAAAACAUAAUUGAAACGUGACUAAAUAAAAAUGCUACAUCGGAAUGUAAAGUUUUUUUAAAAAAUGGAAUAUACUUUCACAUUCAAAAUAUAAUUAAGAAAAAAACCAUUCACCCGAUUAUCAAAAAAAAUCGUUCACCUUCCAGCUUCUUUUACUAAGUAAAUGAGCUAAAUCCUUAAAAUUUCAUAUUAAAUGAUGGAUUUUUAUUAUUAAUUUUGAAUUUAUUUGAAUGAUAAAUUUUUUUUUGUUAAAUUUAUUAAUAAAUAUUUUAUAUUUGAAAUGUAUUUAGUUUCAUUCAUUUUAUAUUUGUAAUAUAUUUAUAUACAUAUCUUAAAUAAUUUUAAAAAAAAUUGAUAAAUCUAAAAAGAUACAUAUCAAUUUGAGUAAAAAAAAAUCAAAUGUCCACUAAUACAAGGAAAAGAAAUCUCAAUUCUUAAAAUUUCAAUCCCUUUAUAUUUAAAGGUGAAGACAGUAGAAGAAAAAUAAGAAUAGGUAUUAACAAUGAAAUUAGAUUUGAAUAACGUUGUCGCUAGGCAUAAUUUAUUGACAAUUUUUACAAGACGUUACAUGUAUUUAAUAUGACAUAAAAAAUUUAUGUAAAAUUUUGGGAUGGAAUAGUUUAUCUGUAUAUUUUAUUUUUUAGGUUGGGAUUAAAAAAUUAACAUGUUUAUUUUACAAAUAACUCUGUAGUAUUAUCGUCUUUAAAAUAAAAUUAUCUUAACAUGUUUAUUUCGAAGGUGGAUGUUUAAAUUUCGACUUAAACACAAAGGCAAACUAAAUAAAUUCUAAUCUAAAUUUCAUUUAGCUCAAUUUAUUAUAAAAAAUUAACUGCGUAAUUAAAUCAAAUUCAAAUUGACUCAAAUUUAUCUAAACUUGAAAUGAUUUAAUCACAAAAUAACUCGAACUUAAAAUGAUCAAAAUCUAAAAUGAUUCGGAUCAAUAAUAACUAGACAUGAAAAACUUAGCCUUAAAUUUAAAUGACUUGAACCUUAAAUAAAAAAAAUCCGAAAAUGACCUAAACCAUAUUGGAAGUUUUCAUGUAUUUUAAAGAAUUACAUAUAAUACACAUAUUUUAGAUACACCUAUUAAAUGGUGUUUAUAUAGAUUUGGUUUACUAUAAACUUGUAAGACUAAAAAUAAGAGAAUACGUAUGUGCACACGAGGCUUGAGCCUAAUAGCUCAAUUCCAUUCAAAUGGGAAAAUUUUUUCAAUUUUUUCAUUGCCCAUGAUACAAACUAAAUCCUAGAAAUAGUAAAUCCACGAAUAUCCUUAAGAAUAGGGAUAUUCAUGCCUCAAGCUACAAUUCUAAUUUUCUAAACUUUUGACUUUUUAAUAAACCUAAAAUGAUCUUAAAAUUUUAAUACAUAAAUUGAGACCGUGAAAUCUUGAAGGCCAAAGUUUAAGUCACAUUGUGAAUAAAUUAUAUGUAAGCCAUACUUUAGAUUUAUUCUAAUUAUUUACUUCGCUUCUAAUGUACAUAAACUUUGCCAACAUGGAGGAUUAUUCAAGUAUUCUAUUUGACAUAUUACUUUAAUUAAGGGAAUAAAUCUAAAAAAUUUACACAUGAAUAUUGCCUCAAUCUAGAAUGUCAAAGGUAAACUUUAAUUUAAUGUGCAUUAUGACACUUAAAUUAUGUUAAUUUUGUGUAAUUGUAUAUAAUAAAUUUUGAUUUUGAUUUAAUUUAAUUUGGGUUUGAGGCUCGACUUUUUUGGCCUGAGUCAUUAUGGGUUUUGAUUAUUUCAUAUAUUGUGACAAUUCAACCGUUGUCUUUAUGGCUAAGAUGACAAAAGUGGAAGUCGAAGUAAACAUAUCGACAUUAAGUUUCUAGAUGAGCACAUUAACACUAAGCAAAUGUUAGCUGAUCCUUUGGUUAAAGGCAUGCCACCACCCAAAAUUUAAGGAUCAUGUUGUCAUUGUGGGACUUGUUCCCACAUUGUAAAAUUUUAUUAUAAGAAAGGAUUAUAAAAAAAUUGGUUAAAUUAACUCUAAGUCAUUAUAAAUUUGUUAAUUAAAGAAUAGGUAAAAUUAAUAGAAAAUAAAAAUAAAACAAAAACGUUGAUAAUAAGUUAAAAAUCAAUCCAAAUCAUUAUAGAUUUUUUAUUUAAAAAAUGAACUAUAAUUAAAAUGGAAAAAAUAAAAAACAUGGGGCGCUAUUUUGUUUUGGGGGCAUGAAUGGAGUAUUGUUUAAGGGCAAGGGAUUUCUAUUCACUGCUCCAAUGCCUAUAUAAGCCUCAAUACCAUGCUUUGUUUUCCUCAUUCACAACUAUUCAGAUAAAGAACUUUGUCUCAUCUGCUUCAUUUGUUUCGAAAUCUCUGAACAAAAAUGGCCUCUUUCAAUUGCUUUGCUUUAGCAUUCUUGAUGGCUUUGUCAUUUGCAAGCAUUGAUGUUGGGGUAGCAGCUCGUCACCUUCUGCAGCAGCCUCAAACGCAAAGUUUGCCAUCUUUCCCUAAUCUCCCAACGCCAUCCCGACCAUCAUUCCCAUGGCCUGGGGCGCUUCCUCCACUUCCUACCACAUUGCCAACAGGACUGCCCCCUCUGCCAAGCAUUCCCUCAGUCCCCACAAUCCCAACUGCAAUUCCCCCUAUUCCUUUCUCUUUUCCACCAUUGCCAUCUUUCCCUAAUCUCCCAAACCUUGGGGCGCUUCCUCCACUUCCUACCACAUUUCCAAGAGGACUGCCCCCUCUGCCAAGCAUUCCUUCAGUCCCCACAACCCCAACUACAGUUCCCUCUAUUCCUUUCUUUUCUCCACCACCUUCUCGUUCUACUCCUUGAAGUACCCCAUUUUUUUAUCUACUGCAUAUUGGAUCUGGUUUAAUAAGGUUUUUAGUCGUCUUUGUGGCUUUAUUAUGAGUACUGAUUUUGCACACUUAUAUUUGUUUGAAUAAAUGGGAUUUCUCCAAUUCCCAAUAUUUGGUGUACUUUGAUACAUUGUUGCUUAUUAUAUAUGAGGUAUUUAUAUAUUGAUGUUAUGUCCAUGAAGUAAUUAAUUACUAUUAUACCAUUGUUAACAUGAGUUUGGCUAAUUAAGAAAAGAAUCAAACGAUAAAUGCAGUCAAGAUAAUGAGCAGCCAUACAUCGAGAAGAUGCCACUGUUGAUAUAAUGAUUCCUGCUUCAUUAUCUCUUCCAAGUUAUCCAUUUACAUAAGAAUAUUUUCCUCUUUCAAUAUAUUUCCAUGAUAAUAUUUUAUAUGAAUGUCAAAUUAUGUAUUAAAUUAAGGUAGUCGGUUUCGUACAGAUUUCGGUUAUAUUAAUUUGUGUAUUGUUUUAAUUUUAUACUGAAAUAUUAAUGCUUUUAAAAUUAGAUCGAUAAUUAAAUUAAUCGAAUAAUUAAUUCUCAAUCCAAUAGGUUUAACCACUGAUACAAAUAAUUUACUAUUCAAUAAUAUUAAUUAUUAAAAUCCCCAAACUCCUAUUUUGAUGGCUUUGAAUUUUAAAACCCUCUCCCCAUCUUUCAUCUUUCCUAAUUUGUCCUUUUUUUUUCCAUUGAUUGAAUAUUAUAAGUCCAUCUUAGUUUUUUACCAGAAAAAAGAACUUAUUUUAGUAGAAAAAGUAAGAAAAAAAAUGUUGGUUAUUUUUUUAUGUUGUGUUUUAUUUCAUUGAGUACAGAGAUGAAGUGUAACAAAAGCUCAAGGGAUUUGAAGUGAAAUUUUUAUAUUUCUGAUUUAGAAAAUGUGAAAAUACGGCUUAAUCGACUGAUGAUUUGCAGUUUAAUUGUAGUUUACUCUAGUUCUAGGGUUCAUCAAUUCUUGGUUUGUUUGGUUCAAUUUCAAUAACAUUGCGAAACACCCAACACCCUUUUUCUACACUGGUGAAAAUUUUGGUCCGUACCAGUUGCAUCAACUCAUUCUGAUCAAUUUCAGUCACACCUGUUAGAGCAUAGUGCACCAUCCUAUGCAUGAAUAAUAUUAAAAUUUUAAAAUUUUUAAUUAUUUAUUAUUAUGCUAAAAACUUAAUUGAAACGUGACUAAUUAAAAAUGUUACAUCGAAAUGUAAAGUUUUUUAAAAAAUGGAAUAUACUUUCACUUUCAAAAUAUAAUUAAGAAAAAAUCAUUCACUCGGUUAUCAAAAAAAAAUUCCGUUCACCUUCUAGCUUCUUUUAUUAAGUAACUGAGCUAAAUCCUUAAAUUUUCAUAUUAAAUGAUAGAUUUUUAUUAUUAAUUUUGGAUUUAUUUGAAUGAUAAAUUUUAUUUUUUAAGUUUAUUAAUAAAUAUUUUAUAUUUGAAAUGUAUUUAGUUUCAUUCAUUUUAUAUUUGUAAUAUAUUUAUAUACAUAUCUUAAAUAAUUUUAAAAAAUAUUGAUAAAUCUGAAAAGAUAUGUAUCAAUUUCAGUAAACAAAAAAUCAAACGUCCACUAAUACAAAGAAAAGAAAUCUCAAUUCUUAAAAUUUCAAUCCCUUUAUAUUUAAAGUUGAAGACAGUAGAAGAAAAAUAGAAAUAGGUAUUAACAAUGAAAUUAGAUUUGAAUAACGUUGUCACUAGGCAUAAUUUAUUGACAAUUUUUGUAAGAGGUUACAUGUAUUUAAUAUGACAUAAAAAACUGUUAAAUUAACUCUAAGUCAUUAUAUAUUUGUUAAUUAAAUAAUAGGAAAAAUUAAUUGAAAAUAAAAAUAAAACAAAAACGUUGAUAAUAGGUUAAAACUUAAUCCAAAUCAUUAUAGAUUUUUUAUUUAAAAAAUGAACUACAAUUAAAAUGGAAAAAAUAAAAAACAUGUGGCGCUAUUUUGUUUUGGGAGCAGGAAUGGAGCAUCGUUUAAGGGCAAGGGAUUUCUAUUCACUGCUCCAAUGCCUAUAUAAACCUCAAUACCAUGCUUUGUUUUCCUCACUCACAACUAUUCAGAUAAAAAACUUCGUUUCAUCUGCUUCGUUUGUUUCGAAAUCUCUGAACAAAAAUGGCCUCUUUCAAUUGCUUUGCUUUAGCAUUCUAGAUGGCUUUGUCAUUUGCAAGCAUUGAUGUUGGGGUAGCAGCUCGUCACCUUCUGCAGCAGCCUCAAACACAAAGUUUACCAUCUUUCCCUAAUCUCCCAACGCCAUCCCGAUCAUUGUUCCCAUGGCCUGGGGCGCUUCCUCCACUUCCUACCACAUUGCCAACAGGACUGCCCCCUCUGCCAAGCAUUCCCUCAGUCCCCACAAUCCCAACUGCAAUUCCCCCUAUUCCUUUCUCUUUUCCACCAUUGCCAUCUUUCCCUAAUCUCCCAAACCUUGGGGCGCUUCCUCCACUUCCUACCACAUUUCCAAGAGGACUGCCCCCUCUGCCAAGCAUUCCUUCAGUCCCCACAACCCCAACUACAGUUCCCUCUAUUCCUUUCUUUUCUCCACCACCUUCUCGUUCUACUCCUUGAAGUACCCCAUUUUUUUAUCUACUGCAUAUUGGAUCUGGUUUAAUAAGGUUUUUAGUCGUCUUUGUGGCUUUAUUAUGAGUACUGAUUUUGCACACUUAUAUUUGUUUGAAUAAAUGGGAUUUCUC
This 55775-nucleotide long non-coding RNA is filed under the name Gossypium barbadense (sea-island cotton). RNAcentral's name for it is "long non-coding RNA (GBAR_LNC012260)". Lineage: Eukaryota; Viridiplantae; Streptophyta; Magnoliopsida; Malvales; Malvaceae. The record is from RNAcentral.